RNAcentral lists this long non-coding RNA (60157 nucleotides) under Olea europaea (common olive). Its description in RNAcentral is "long non-coding RNA (OEUR_LNC015176)". The stretch from base 9697 to 9803 matches the Rfam family "Plant small nucleolar RNA R71". Lineage: Eukaryota; Viridiplantae; Streptophyta; Magnoliopsida; Lamiales; Oleaceae. The record is from RNAcentral.
UUCAGAGAAAUUUACACGUUGAUUCUUUUGCACAAUAUCACCUUAUAGAGAAAAAAAGAUGGGGGUGGGGGCAUCACUUGAAAUCAUUACUAAUUUCACAUAUCAAGUUAUCUGGAAAAUUAAAGUAAAAGUACAUUCUCAAUUUAACACUUCAAGACUCUUUGGGCAUAGCACACUAGAAUACUUUGCCCAGCUGGGGCGUGAAACAAAUAUCUGCAAGUAUUGUGAAACUGUAUAAUGUAAUCAUUAGUAAAUGAAAGUUAGCAAUAGAAAUGAAACCCCAAAACUAUCUUUUGUCAACCACACAAUUUCAAUGACAUAUUACUGAUUAUUGAAUUUUUCACUUUAUGUUGAUGUAAAAAACAAUGUUUUACUCACAGCUCAUAAACUAGCUAAUGUUUCACUAGAUGUUAUUAAUGAUAUCACAUUAUCACUUCAAUUGUAGUAUGCUUGAAAAAACUUCUCACAAUGUGAUAAUAUGAUUGAAAAUAUUUAUAGAACUAGGUCAACUUACAGAAAAUUGGUUUACCAAUACUGGUUUUUUUUUCGAAUAUUCUAGAGAAUAGUUGCCAAUGCAUAAAUUCGCCUUUUAAACAUCUUCUGAUGCUUCUUGCUUUGAACAUUGUCUCCCAUCAUAUACACAUGUAACAAAGUUGGUAACAAUUAAAUUGAACAUCAAUGAUAUUUUAUAAGGCACCAUCAUCACACAUUGCAAGUCAUUAUUAAAAAAAUUUCCACAAUUAUGCAGACGAAUACCAAGCAUUGAUAGAGAAACACGUUCUUUUUUUACUUCACUUUGAAGGGAAAAGGAGUAUAAGAAAGACAGUUUUUCAAAAGAAUGAAUCAAAUUUGUGCUUUCUUAUAUAAUCUUGUUUCACCUCUCCAUGAAAAGGAUCAACUUAAGAAAAUAUAUUUCAGAAUUUUGCCACAAGGGAAAAAGACUGUCCAAGAUACCAAUUUGAGUAGAAAAAGUAUAUCCUUAUAUUGCACUUUGAAAAGAUACAAGAAGUGAUCAAACAAAUUACAUGUACCACAUCUUAGUAGUUUAUUGGGAAAAAUAACUGGGAAGUUGUUCAUCCGUAAGUUUUAAUAUAACUUACGUCAUUUAAUAGAAAAACUAUUCAGAUUCUGUAUUGUUGCAGCCUUUUGCUAAAUCAUUAAUGAAUCCUCUAAUUGCAGCCUAGAAAAAGAGGAUAAAAGCAUACAUACUCAAUACCGCCUAUUGGAAUCCCAUGGCAAGAUGUUGUAUGACACUUCGUCAAAGGAUCUAGAAAAAUGUUCUACAAGAACAAGAGAAGGAUGCUCUUACCAAUAGGAGAUCCACCAAUUCAAGUUUGCAAUUCUAUAAUAGAGGAGAAUUUACCUUUCCUUUGAUUUUUUCCUCUCAGAGAUAUCACCAUAGCCGAUAACCAAUAGGAACUUACGGAGAAUCGAAAAGAAGCUAUUAUGGAAACAAAUAUGAAGGAUAAAAUCUCACAACUAAUGAGAAUGAAUAUUAGAUUGUCAACUGCAGGACCACUAAAGGCAACAAUCUGGCUCAUUUCUAUGUUUUGUAACUAUUUAAGUUGUAUAUCACCAAGUAAACAUAGUAGGACAACUCCGUGAGAAGUUCUGGUGAUAUUUUGGAGACAAAAACUGAUGCUAACAUGUAAUAAUAUGCACUAGUUCAAUGUAAAUAGAUUGUUCUAAACAGAAAUUGAUCCACAAUAUAAACAAUUCGAUUAAUAAGUAGCACUGUAGUCUAUAGAAAAAUAAAAAUGUCCUGUUAUUGAGAAAAUUCCUAACGUCAUAUAGAAGCACAAAACUCUAAUUUCAAAAAAUUCAGAAUGAAAGCACAUUCAAAAUCAUUGCCUAAAAAUUUUGAACAAUCUUACUUGUUCAAAAUGCAUUAGAUCACAUUAAGAAAACAAAACAUUAAGAUAAUGUCACGGUUAGAACUCAGCUUUGAUUCUCACGGCAACCAUAGCUCAUAAAAUGGAGAUUUCCAACUGAAAUCAACUGAAAAUAGUAACCAAAUAAAGAGAAAAUAGAAAGGGGUAGAGGGUGAAAGAGAAAAUUAGAAGAAAGAGAUGAGAAAAGCUUUUGAAUGAUUUCAACAAAGUUUACUGAAAUGACCAGAUUACAAAAGCUGCCCUUCAUCUUUCCCUAAUUAUGUAUCUAUAGUCUUCCAAUACAGAGAAAAUGCAUAUCUUUGGAAAAAUGCAAAAGGCGUGUUUUAACUAACUUAAUACAAUUGAUUAAGACAAAAGGUGUCGUUUGGUUGCAAGUAAAUUGGAGUCAUUUCCCAAUUCGAAUUUCCAUUGCUUCCAUUGGUUGUCUUCUUCCAGUUUUCUCCCAUUUCUUCUUCCUAUCUGAUCUUAAUUUCUUUCUCCCCCAUUGAUUCUCCACGUGAUAGAGAAUUUUGAAACCAUACUAUUUUCAAUCGAGUUUGAACCUUCACUUUAAUAUAGAUCUAUUAUAUCCUCUUACAACCCAAUAAAUGAAUUAAUGGCAACCCAAUAAACGAAUUUAUAGCAACCAAAAAACCCAAUCUGCUUUACACGGUAUUUUCUUGCAAAUUGAUAUAAUCCAAUAAAUGAAAUUCAAUAAACACUACAUCUAAGUCAUCUCUGGUGCUGACUCGUAUAGCUAGGUUAAUGGGCUCGAUGGCUAAUGUCUAAUUGAAGGUGGCGAAAUAGUUAUCUUGUGGCGGAACAUCAAAGUAGAGAAAAGUGAAGGGCAAAGAAGACGGGGGAAUGAAAAGAUAAGUGGGAAAGAAAAAGACAAGAAAGAAAACGUGGAAAAGAAAAAGGAAAAAAAAAAAAAGAAAAAGAAAAAGAAAGAAAAGAAAAUUGAAACUUCACUUCAAAUAUGCAUUUUGUAGGGACUAAAAAUACAAAUAAAAACUGAAAAUUUUUCCUCCAAUUAUUAGCCUAAAAAUAUGUCAAAUAUUUUUGUCAGCAAAAGAUAUACCAUUUCUGUUAAAUUUUUUGUCGAAAAGAAUACGAAGCCCCCAUUUGGCCUCCAUUAAUUUUGAUUAAAAUGGGGGAAUAGUAUUUUUUUUCAAAAUAGAUGGUUGUAAAAGAAUAAAAAGUUUUCAAUUUAUGUGUAAUAUUAUUUUAUUGAAAAUUGUGUGAUUGAAAAUAAGAGAGAGAAAAGUUUAAUUUAAUUUGAUGAGAUUUAAUGGGGGCCAAACGGGGGCAAAUUUUUCUAAGCACAAGUCCAGCUACUGGGGCCUUUCUAAUCCAUAUGUCCUUUUUCACAACGAUUGUUUAUUUGUUUAUCGAGGUGAGGAAAGGUGAAUUCCACAUACAAAUUUCAGUUUGCCUUCCAAUAUUUUGUAGAAAAGUAUAAAUUUAUUAUAGUGAUAUUCCGAUUCGCUUUUGCCUAAAAAUGCAUAAGGCUUUCAUGCUAGUGCUGCAUUUGUCCAAAAUCAAUUAGAAAGCAUAUAUAAAAGUAUGGAUGAAUUGAUGGAAUCAAAAGAAGAAAAAAUUUGGAGGCAAAAUGGCCAUGCUCAUUGUUUGCAAGAACUGAGUCUUGAGGCCAUGUGUGGGCAUAGAACAAUAUAGCCAUUGGCUGAUUUUUUCUGAUUUGAUUCUAGGCAACUUUUCAUGAAAAAAAAAAUUAAAAAAAUCAACUUUUCAAGAGAGAUUGGUAAUAUUUUGUGGAUGGUGAAUUGAACUAUAUAAACAAGUGAUAGAUUUCAAUUAUAAAAGUAAAAAAUCAACAAUAACCAUAUUUUAGUGUCUUUAAAUCCAAUUCAUCUACAUAUUCAAACAUUCAAAAGUGUUCUUUAAGUUUUGGAAGAUAAUUACAAGUGCUUAAGUAUUUUCUUCCUCAAGGCUUUUCUUUAAGCACCAAUUGAAUCCUAGACGGGACAAAUAUCAUUUGAGGACAACGAUCUCGUGUUAGAAGUUUUCUACCAUAUUUUGGUGUUAUUGAUUCUUCCUUUUGUUCUGUCAUUCAUUUCUUUUGAAGGGUAAUAGUCCAACAAUCCCAAGCGAUAUUUUAUGGAGAACAAGACUAACAUGGCCACUAUUAAAAUUAUUAAUCAAGAACUUGUUCCCUUGGAUUGAUUCGACAGAACAAAUUUCACUAGAUGGUAAGACAAGUUGAACUUUCUUCUUAUGGCAAUGAUUUUUUUUUUUUUUUACAUCCUUGAUCUGGACAUGAAACCACUACCAAAACCAACGGAUGAAGAUAUUGAGGCCAUAAUAAUCGAUAGGCAAAAACGUCAAGAAAAUGAAUUGAUUUGUCACGAUUAUAUACUCAAAGCUUUAUCCAACCGGUUGUAUAACCUCUAUAACAAUACAUCUUCACAAAAGAAAUUUGAGAUGUGUUAGAAAAUAGGUACAAAACCAAAGAAGAAUGUAUUCUUGAUAUUGAGGUAUUUCAAUUUUAUGUUUCUUGAAAACAUUCCUCUCUUCCCCAAGUUCAUGAAUUACAAGUACUCAAAAUCUUUUUAAGUGAAAGCAAUUAUCGCUAAACUUUCGAGGGCUUGAAAAGGAUAUUAAAAGAAUAUUUUUCAUAGUUCUGAAGAUAUUCUUUUAAAACAAGUUUAGAAACAUCUCUAAAUUGAGAAAGAAUUGAGGGCAAGGAAUAAUAAGAGUAAAAAAUCUUAUGAAGGCACAUCAAAAGUCAAUGUCAUUGAAAAGACCGAGCAUCCAAAAAAUCAAAGAAGAGGAAACAUUUUUAAAAACUUUAACAAGUUUAAGAAAAAUCCCAAGGAAUAUUGUUUUGUAUCUGGAAAACCCAGAAAUUUUUACGAAGGAAUGUUGACAUUGAAAAUAAAAGAAGAGGAAAAAGUUAACUCCAAUGAUGAAGAUAGUAUUACAUGUGCGAAAUUGAUUACGCCUAAAGUAUAACGCAGUGAUUGUAGUAUAGCUUUAGGGUGUCGUAUCCACAGGGAGUGGGAAAUUAUUCAAAGGAUCAAAAACUAGGGUUUUGUGAAGUGUAUGAAAAUAGUUUAUCAAUUAGAAUGAAAUUUAGAUAUCGAUGUGUGAAGUAAUGAAGCGUCGAAAUUCUCUUGAUCGGUUCGGAUCAAUCAAUGUCAAUUACACAUUCAUAUACUCACUUAAAGAAUCUUGUCAUCAAACUUUAUUUGGAAUUUAUAACAUUAAAGCUCAAUUUAAUUCUAUAGUAAUUCCAAAAUAUGGAUUUCCUAUAACAUAUACCCACUUUAGUCUAUUGAAAUUAGAUUCAAAAUCCACCUUAUACAUCAAGCAUAAAAUUGUAGAGGAUCACACCAAUAAGAUAGUUGAAAUUGAUAUUCAACAAAUAUUUUAAUUUCACAAUAGACAAAAUAUAAUUGAAUCUAUGCGAAAUAUAGUAAAUGUUAAACACAAUAAUGUUUGAAAUUAAAAUUCAAUACUUUCAAUUAUUCGACAGAAAGAACAUGAUUAAGUCCAUGAAAUCUAAUACAUAUUAAACCAAUCUCAAAAUAUAUUUAUAAGAACAAGAAAUCCAAACCUAGAAUUGUUUAGCAAUGGAAAUCAUAUUACAUGCAUGAGAGACAUUGAAAUAAUCGAUACCAAUCGAGCCUUCCAUGAAGUUUCUUCACCCAAGAUGAGAGAAAAAUGGUACCAGGUUCGUUUCCCUUCGUUCUGGAGUGUUAUGGGUUUAAAAAUCGAUUGAAAACGUGUUACCAUAGUUGAUGGCAUCAAUUUAGGAAUUUAGCAAAUUUGGUAUCAGAGGAUUAUUAUGUGACCAUGUGGUUAUAAGCCAUACGGUCACAUAGAAAAAAUGUGUGGCACCCAAAAGUUCCCUGAACCCUUCUAUGCGGACACAUAGCUUUUGAACUAUGUGACCUCAUGGUUGAAAAAUUUUCCUGCCACAUAGCUUUUAUUAUUUUGGCCAUAAUCUUUAUUCCCGAUGUCCAAUUGAGGUGAUUCAAGUUGUGUUGAAAAGCUAACAUGAAGGACUACAAUUUUACUUUAGAAAUUAUCUUUCAAUUCGAUCAUUUUCCAUGUCAAAAAUGGGUCUUAACAUCAGGCUAAAAAUCGGUGCAUAACUUUUUCAAUUGAGAAUUGAUUUGUGAGAUGUUAUGGUCAUAUUUCACUUCUUUUGACUUCAAAUUACACCCAAUUGACUCCUACCUUUCUAAAAAUCUUCAUUUCAUCGCCCGUCUCAUUAUGGAUUAUUUUCAACUUGGUCCCUGAACUUUCACUUUCUUUCACUUUGGCCCUUUUUACUCAUUUUUUCCAAAUUUCACAUUUUCCAUCAAAUUGUGACCUAGAUCAAAACAUAAGAGUAAUGAGUAUAUUUUGACAUUAAAUCAAAAGGGAAAAAUAUCAUAUUUUACACUCCUCGACUUGCUUAUUACUAGUCACUAGCAAUUCAAUGCUGAACAAGCAAACGAAUGAUUAGAUUGUAAUACAAAUGAAAUUAUUAUGUUUCAACUUAACUGCAAUUCAUGCUCUUUUCAAACUCAACUUCACAAGAACUUAACAAUGUCAUGAUCAUCAAGAUAUCAAAAACACUUACCAAAUGUGUGAGUGUAUGUCAAGUCAUAGCCAUAUUAUCGCCAACCCUAACACAUGUAACAUCAAGUAUGUCUCGAGCUGAAGGUUCAGCUCCACAACUCAUGGUUAUCAAAGUAUUUAGCACGGUUUUCUCUCUGUGGAGUUGAGAAAGGGAUACACUCAGAAUUUGGAGGCUUAAAUGUUUAUGAAUGAGCAAUAAGCGAACAUUGAUCUUAUGAUAGGCAUACUGUCAAAUGAAAAUCCAUCACUUUCUUACCACAAUCAUACUUGGGAUCAAAAUAAUCAAUGUAAAGGUUGUAAUGUGGUUUGGGUUAGAUUGUAUGAAAAUGAGGAUAUAAAGAUUCAAGGACUUCCAAGAAUAUAGCUAGGCAUCUCAUCAAGCAUCUCGAUAGAUUACAUCUUUCGAUCAAUACACUCUUCAAUAUUUCAACCCCAAAAUCAAUCAACUUUUUUUUGUCUUUUUUUUAUAGGGGUAUUUUGCUUGAGAACAUACUAACUUUUGUCAUUUUCUUGCUUCUAUUUUUCACAAAUAAGCAUUCAAUACGUACUACACGCUUGGAAGUAAAAAGUUGGGUAAAUAUGUGGAUAGACUAUACUCCAAUGUGGAGAAGUUUGUGUAACAUGGGUGUAUGAAGAAAAGGCUAUACAUGUGUGUAUGGCUCAAUAUAUCUACUAGGGGUUGUAAUUAUUGAAAAAGAAGGCUUGAAAGGCUUAUAUGUUAAUCCUAAAUUGACCUUCAUCAUUUUCCAAGUAACUUACCAUCUUACCACAAACCAUGUAUUCUCAAAAGAAUUUCUAAUUCACAAAAUCAAUGACUGCUCAUUGCUAUUUUAGUGCAAGGUGGCUCUCCAUCCUCACUAAAUCUCACAAGAAACUUCGGCAAGAAACUACUCUAGCUACAUAUGUUAAACCACUAUCUUACCACAAGACUUGUGUGCGCAAAAAGAUUCAGCAAAUGUCUCAACAUCCAAACUUUCAUAAACAACAUUAAUUCCUUGUGGCAUAUAUUGUCAUUUAAGAACAUGUAGCGAAUUAGGGACUUAAAAAAAUUUAGACCAAAAUUCCAUGUAAAUUAUGUAAUUCACAACAAAAUUUAAGUUAAACUCUCCCCCAACUAAACGUUGCAUUGUUCUUAAUGCAAAAACAUAUCUCUAAAAUAAAGGUAAGGAAAGAUGUCACUUGACUGCUAAAGUAUAAGAAGUUCAAAAGUUUUCAAUAGAAAGGGUGAUGCAGAAAAUGAAAAUAAAAGGAAUGCAAUGAAUAAUGCAUGGACUAAACCUAGAGAGAAUGCAUAAAUGAAAAAAAAAAAAAAGAGAAUGGAACGAACUCCCAUUGGAUUGCUUCCUAAGUAGCGUCUUUGUUUAUUGUCAUUGGCUCGACCCAUUAUUGCCUUCUUCAAUCUACAUCCAGCCAGAGCAUUGUCAACCUUCGGCGCAUUGCACUAAACUCAUUGAAAGUAGUCACUGGUGGUGUCCCAUAACCGUGAAAAUAAUCAAAAGUAGCACAAAUAUCAGUAUAGUCCCCAUUAUCAUACCCUUUGGUAAUUUCAGAAUUUAAAAGGAAAGAAUUUAAAGGAUCGAGGUCAAGAAGCGCAUGUGCUUCCUACUCAAUGAGUGUAUCAAUCAUGUACAUUUGAUGACACUCAUCAACUUCUUCAGGCUAUUUCAUGGCGUGAAUGAUGUUGAUGUCUAAGAUCACGUUCCCAAAAGAUAGCUUCAUCAAACCAUUCUUGCAAUUGUAACUGUAGCGAGAAAAGGUCUACCAAGAAUAAUUGAAAUCUUGGAGUUAACAUUCACAUCCAAAACCAAAAAAUCUACAGGAUAGCAAAAUUUCUUAGUCUGUACUAGCACAUCAUCAACUACCCCCUAGGUCUAAUAGUUGACCGAUCAGCCAAUUGUAGGACCACUGUAGUAUGUUUGAUCUCACCUAGACCUAAUGCCGAGUAUAUAGCAUAAGGCAUGAUGUUGAGAUUAGCCCCUAAGUCAAGGAAAGCUUGUGAAAUCUCAUGUUUCCCUAUUAUACAAGAAACAGUAGGACAACCAGGGUCUUUAUACUUUGGCAGGACUUUUUGUUCAAUUUUGACACUCACAUGUUCAGUCAAGAAGGCAGUUUUCUUGACAUGGUACUUUCUUUUUACAGUACACAAGUCCUUAAGGACUUUAGCAUAUGUGAGAACCUGGGAAAUCACGUACAAAAGAGGUAAAUUGACUUUUACUUGCUUGAGGUGCUCUAGGAUUUCACUAUGUUGACUAGUAAAAUUCGAGGUCGACUUAAGGGCUUGAGGAAAAGGCACUCUAGAUGGAUUUUUCACUACCUUCUCACUAGGGGUGCUCUCUUCUGAAUUACUAGGGACCUUUUCAUUUUCCUUAGGUUUGAGAAUUGGUUCUAUGACCUUACUAUUAUGGCAUUUACUUCUCUAAGAUUUCUUUCUCUUAACCUUGAAGUUUGUGCCAUGUGUUGUCCCCUAGGGUUCGGUUAAUCUUGCGUUGAGAAUUUUUCCCGCUCUCCUACAGCUAAGGCAUUAGUUAGUUUCAUCAUAUGAGAUUUUAUUGCCUUGUUUUCUUCAACAAUUUGGGUGAUUAUAGUCUCAAACUUUUGGUUAGUCUUACUCAGUGCCUCUAUAAAUGCAUGUAGAUUGUUUUCUAAAGAGUUCCUAGAGGACGUGGGCUGAUAUGGACGUGCAGUGUGAGCUUUAUUUGGCUAGCCUUCAAAUUUUCAGCUGAGAUUGGGGUGGUUCUACCACCCCAGAUUGUAUGUUUCAGAAAAGGAAAAAUAAGGCUUUUGGUAUGUGCUUAAGACAUUACAGUGUUCCUCAUAAACUCCCCUCAUCUUAGCAUAGGUAGCGCACUCUUGAGCUGGAUGAUCAAUUUUACCACAAACAAAACAUGGUCCUAAAGAUUUAACAUUGGAUGCAUUUUGUGUAGGCUUUGAGUCCCUAGCACGUAAGAUUUUGAGUUCUUUCAUGAGGGCAUCUACCUUGACUCUAAGGUCAUCCUCCUCCCUAAGAUGAUAAAUGUCUGUGCUAGUGGUGUUUCUGAUGGGUCGUGUCCUAUUAGUACUCUCAGUGAUACUAGGUCCAGUCCAGGUAUGGACUUUCUCGGCUAAGUCAUCUAAGUACUCUAUGGCUUCAUCCGAGUCUUUUUGUAAGAAGUCUCCAUUACACAUCAUUUCAACAAAUUGACACUCCCUAGGUGUUAGGCCCUCAUAAAAGUAACUCACCAUAUGCCAACUCUCAUAUCCAUGGUGGGGGCAAAGGGUUUGUAACUCUUGGUAUCUCUCCCAAACUUGGUAUAAGGUUUUACUAUCCUUUUAGGAAAAUGAGAAAAUUUGCUUCUUAAGGGCAGUGGUCUUAUGAUGGGUGUAAUAUUUGUCAAAGAAAGCUUGGGUCAUUUCAGCCCAAGUUCCAAUCGAACAUGGUUUCAAUGAAUACAACCAGUUUUUUGCUCGUUCUUUGAGUGAAAAUGGGAAAAUUUUAAGCCUAAUUGUAUCCAUUGUACCACGUUGAUUGUGGAAGGUUACAACCACUUCCUCAAAUUCCCGAAGAUGUUGAAUCGUUCACGAUUUUAGGUCAAUACAUGGCAUAUUAGGUGGGAACAUAAUGCAAGAUGGCAUGGAAGUUUGUGUUGGGUGAAGGUAAUCAUGUAGGGUCUUAUAGGGCGCAUCGUCGUACUUACUAUCAUUCAUUGUGUUGUGUAAUGUAAUGGUUGUGUCUACAGAUGCAGAAUCGAAAAGAGUGUUAGAAAGUAAUUCAACCUCUAGUUGAGGUCUUGCAAUGAAUCACCCUCGCUCGUCUCGAUACCUGUUCAUAAAGCACAAAAAUGCAAAAAUGUGAGAAAAACAAAAUACAACUAAAAAUUAAACAAUAAACUAAAAGAAUGUAAAAAAAAAAAGGAAAAAUGUUACCCUUUUGCUUGAAAAUCCUUCAGGUUUUUGUACCAUCUCCCCGACAACGGGGCCAAAUUUGGUUGCACCCGAAGUAUAACGCGAUGAUUGUAGUAUAGUUUUGGAGUGUCGUAUCCACAAGGGGAUGAGAAAUUAUUCAAAGGAUCAAAAGGUAGGGUUUUGUGAAGUGUAUGAAAAUAGUUUAUCAAUUAGAAUGAAAUUUAAAUAUCGAUGUGUGAAAUAAUGAAGCGUCAGAAUUCCCUCGAUUAGUUCGUAUUAAUCAACGUCAAUUACACAUUCAUAUACUCAAUUAAAGAUUCUUGUCACCAAACUUUAAUUGGAAAAAUAUAACAUUAAAGCUCAAUUUAAUUCUACAGUAAUCUAAAAUAUGGAUUUCCUAUAACAUAUACUCACUUUAAUCUAUUGAAAUUAGAUUCUAAAUCCACCUCAUACAUCAAGCAUAAAAUCGUAGAGAAUCACACCAAUAAGAUAGUUGAAAAUGAAAUUCAACAAAUAGUUUAAUUUCACGAUAGACAAAACACGAUUGAAUCCAUACAAAAUAUAGUAAAUGUUAAACCAAUCUCACAACAAUGUUUGAAAUUAAAAUUCAAUACAUACUUCAAUUAUUCGAUGGAAAGAACAUGAUGAAGUCAAUGAAAAUCUAAUACCUAUUAAACCAAUCUCAAAACAUAUUUAUAAGAACAAGAAAUCCAAACCUAGAAUUGUUUAGCAAUGGAAAUCAUAUUACAUGCAUGAGAAACGUUGAAAUAACUGAUACCAAUCAAGUUCUUCCUUUUUUCACCAAAGAUUCUAGCCUUGCAUGAAGUUUCUUCACCCAAGAUGAGAGAAAAAUGACGCCAGGUUUGUUUCCCUUCAUUCGGGAGUGUUCUAGGUUUAAGAGUCGAUUGAAAACGUGUUACCAUAGUUGAUGGCUUCAAUUUAGGAAUUUAACAAAUUUGGUAUCGGAGAAUUACUAUGGACCACAUGGUUAUGAGCCAUGUGGUCACGUAGAACAAAUGUGUGGCACCCAAAAGUUCCCUAGGCCCUUCUAUGCGGUCGCAUAGCUUCUGAACUAUGCAACCUCAUAGAAUCAUCUUCCAAUUCGAUCAUUUUCCCUACCAAAAAUGGGUCUUAACAUGAGGCUGAAAAUCGGUGCAUAACUUUUUCAAUUGAGAAUUGAUUUGUGUAGAUGUUAUGGUCAUAUUUAACUUCUUUUACACCCAAUUGACUCCUAGCUUUCUUUAAUCAUCAUUCCAUCGCUUGUUUCGCUAUGUAUUAUUUGCAACUUGGUCCCUAAACUUUCACUUUCUUCCACUUUGACCCUUUUUACUCAUUUCUUCUAAAUUUUACUUUUUCCAUCAAAUUGCAACCUAGAUCAAAACUUAAGAGUAAUGAGUGUCUUUUGAUGUUAAAUAAUCAUAUGAAUGCAACAAUUAAGAGUGGAAAAAUAUCAUAUUUUACACUCUCAUCAGAAAUCAAUGCUACCAAGGGCAAAGUCCUCGCUUGGUGAUAUGAUAUAUGUACAACUAUUUAUGUAUCAUAUGAUAAGUCACUCUUCAAGGUUUAUUAUUAAUCAAAUGGAGAGAAAGAGAUACAAAUGGAUAAUGAAGGCCUCUCCAAAGUAGUUGGAAAAGGAAAUGUGGGCAUCAUCUUCACUUUCAAAAAACUAUUACCUUAACAAAUGUACUAUAUAUCAUUGAAAUGAAUAGGAACUUAGUAGCUUGAGAUUUCUUGAGAAAACUAGGCAUAAAAUGUGUUUAUGAAUCCAAAAAACUUGUAUUAUCCCAAAAUGAAAAUUUUGUUGGAAAAGGCUAUUUAAGUGGAGAAAUGGUCAAAUUGUGUAAUGUUGACAAUAUUAAUAAUAAUGAAGCUAAUUUUGCUUACUUGAUUGGUUCAUUUACUUUAUGGCAUGCUAGAUUAUGUCACAUAGGCGCUAGUACAAUGAAAGGAAUUCUUAAAUAUGAUAUGAUUUCAUACAAUGUGAUUGAUACUUAUAAAUGUAGAAUAUGUAUGGAUUCUAAAAUGGUUAAGAAAACCUUACUAAAAUGUAAAUAGAGCUUCUCAAAUUUUAGAGCUUACUCAUUCGGAUAUAUGGGAACUAAAUGGCAUGUUAACUAGGGAUAAAAAUAGAGAUUUCAUCACUUUUAUAUAUUAUCACUCUUGGUAUACUUAGGUUUAUUUAAUAAAAUAUAAACAUAAAGCAUUUGACAUGUUUAAAACUUAUAAAAUGAAGUCGAAUAUCACUUAACUAAGAGAAGAAAAAUACUUAGAAGUGAUAGUUAAGGAGAAUACUUCUCUAGUGUCUUUAAUCUAUCUUGUCAACAAUAAGGUAUAGUACAUCAAUAUUCUACACCUAAAACACCUAAACAAAAUGGUUUGACUGAAAAAAAAGAACAUUAGUUAAAAUGAUAAAUGCCAUAUUAACUUGUGCUAAGUUGCCAUUUAAGUUGUGGGGUGAAAUUUUGUUGAUUGCAUGUAGAAUAUUAAACAGGACUCCUUCAAAAUUCACAAAGAUUUUGCUUGAUGAAUUGUGGAAAGAAAGAAAACCAAACAUUGGAUACUUCUAAGUGUAGGGAUGUCUUGCAAAUUAUAAGAACACAAACCCAAAAAGGACUAAUUAGGGUCCAAGAGGCAUCAAAUUGCCAUUGUUGGAUAAGCUAGUAAUAGCAAAUCAUAUAGAUUAUUGAUGCGAACCCUGUAGCAAUGGAAACUACGAAACCCACAACGAGAUUGAUGCGGAACCCAAGAACGCCAAUACUAACCCGAUUUUGGAUCUCGAACCCCAAGAAUUGAACCAAGAAACCCUAGAUUAGCGAAGAACCUAAAACUCCUUGAUUACAAUUAAAAGAACCCACAAUCCGAUUGAUAGAACGCCACAAGAAGUUGAAUCUUGAUAAGUUCCAAGAUUGUUCAAGAAGAACAAUAAAUUGAAAGAAGAAAUUUCUCUCUCUAUAAUAUUAAUUCAGAAGUCAAAAGUUCAAAGGUUGUUACAAUGAAAAGUAAUCUCCUAUUUAUACUAAUGAAUAAAAACGUCCAAAACCAUCAAAUUAUGGUAAUAAUUUGAUUUCAUAAGAAUUCUAUCGAAACUAGGAAAUUCGACCAAAAAUAGAAAAUUCGCCAAUUUUUUUGGCUUGUGCGGCCGCAUGGUGUAAAUCCAUGCGGUCGCAUGGUUCAACAGAAAUUGCACUUUUGGUUUCCGGUAUGCAUGUGUGUGGCCGCAUGGAGUUUUGCCUGUACAGCCUCAUGGUGUCAUUUUCUGCCUCCGCUUUCAUUGCUUGAUAACAAAUUGAUCCAAGUCGAUUCGGCCUUCGACCCGAACAUGAAAGUUGCUCCAUUUUAAGUCCCGAACAUGGUUCCAUCAAUGGUUUCUUGAACGAGCAAUCCCAUCGCUUGUUUCACUUGCUUUGCCCUUGAUCGCGUCAUUGGUUCGCCAUCGACUAUCAACGGGUCUCAUCUCGCACUUGCCUUCGUCAGGCUCGACUCCUGGAUCAUAUCAUCCCCUCCUUCUUCAAAAAGAUUAGCCCUCGAAUCUAAACCAACAUCAAAUAGAGAGAGAUCAGAUACAUUAAAAGUAGCUGAAACAUUAUACUCACCAGGUAAAUCCACUUUUUAUGCAUUGUCAUUGAUCCUCUCGAUGAUUUGAAACGGUCCAUCGUCUCGGGGUUGCAAUUUUGACUUCCUCUGUUCUAGAAAAUUCUCUUUUCUGAAAUGCACCCAGACCCAAUCUCCAAGUUCAAAUGUAACGCGUCUUCUUCCUUUAUUUGCUUUUGAUGCAAUCAGCUUUCCUUUCUCUUCGAUCUGCAUCCUGACCUUUUCAUGGAGUGUUUUACCAUCUCGGCUUUUCGUUUUCCAUCCAAGCUACCUCGUUUUUGCACAGGCAAAGGAAUUAAAUCCAUAGGUGUUAGUGGAUUAAAAUCAUAAACAAUUUCAAAAGGAGAAAAUGAAGUAGUAGAAUGUGUAGCUCGAUUAUAUACAAACUCUAUAAGCGGUAAACACUCUUCCCAUGAUUUCAGAUUUUUAUUGAUUACUGUCCUAAGUAGUUGAGUCAUAGUUCGAUUAACUACCUUAGUUUGUCUAUCUGUUUGUGGGUGACAAGUUGUAGAAAAUAAUAACUUAGUUCCUAACUUACUCCACAGAACACGCCAAAAAGGACUCAAAAACUUCACGUCCCUAUCAGACACUAUACUUUUACGUACUCCAUGUAAACGUACUAUUUCCCUAAAGAAUAAGUCUGCAAUAUUAGUAGCAUCGUCAGUUUUAUGACAUGGUAUGAAGUGUGCCAUCUUACUAAACCUAUCGACCACUACAAAUAUUGAAUCCUGACCCCUUUUUGUUCUAGGCAAACCUAACACAAAGUCCAUAGAUAUGUCUACCCAAGGUUCACUAGGUACAGGCAAAGGAAUAUACAAACCAUGGGGUUGAACCUUAGACUUAGCCUUUUUACAAGUUAUGCACUUCCCACAUAUUUGUUAUAUGUCAUGUUGCAUUUUAGGCCAAUAAAAAUGUUUCCCUAACAUGUCUAAAGUCUUUUGAACCCCGAAGUAUCCCAUUAAACAACCCCCAUGUGCUUCCCUUACCAAUAAUUCACGCAAAGAACAAUUAGGAAUGCACAACUUAUCUUCCCUAAACAAAUAUCCUUCAUGCCUAUAGAAUUUAUCAAAUGCACCUUUGUCACAUGAAGCAUAAAUACUAGAAAAAUCACAAUCAGAUUCAUACACGCCCUUAAUAUGCUCGAAACCAAGUAAUUUAGUACUUAAUGAAUUUAAAAGCACGUACCUUCGAGAAAACGCAUCAGCAACUAUAUUUUCGUUAUCUUGUUUGUACUUGAUGACGUAGGGAAAUGUCUCGAUAAACUUCACCCAUCUCGCACGUCUUUUGUUCAACUUACCUUGACCUUGCAAAUGCUUUAAAGAUUCAUGAUCGGCGUGUAUCACGAAUUCCUUUGGCCAUAAGUAGUGCUGCCAAGUCUCCAAUGCUCGAACAAGUGAAUACAACUCCUUGUCAUAUGUCGGGUAAUUCAAUGCUGCCCNNNNNNNNNNNNNNNNNNNNNNNNNNNNNNNNNNNGUAAUUCAAUACUGCCCCACUCAACUUUUCGCUAAAGUAAGCAAUAGGUCUCCUUUCCUGCAUUAACACUGCUCCUCUAUCUAUUCCUGAUGUAUCGCACUCAACCUCGAAUGUUUUAUCAAAAUUUGGUAAUGCCAAAACAGGUGCUUUACAUAGCUUAUCCUUAAUUGUGUUAAAUACAAUUUCUUGAGAUUCUCCCCAAUGGAAACCUACACUCUUCUUUACUAUUUCAGUCAACGGUGUGGUGAUGAUGCUAAAAUCUUUUACAAAUCGUCUAUAAAAACUAGCCAAUCCAUGAAAACUCCUAACUUCAGUUAUAGUCUUAGGUGUUGGCCAUUCCUUUAUAGCUUUUAUUUUUUCUUCAUCGACUUCCACCCCAUUAGCACUAACCACAAAUCCUAGGAAAACAACUCUAUCCAUGUAAAAUGUACACUUUUUGAAAUUAGCAUAUAGUUGUUCCUUUCGCAACACAACAAGCACACAAUUUAAAUGUUCUAAAUGCUCAUCUAGGUUUUUGCUAUAGAUUAAGAUGUCAUCAAAAUAAACUACAACAAAUUUCCCAAUAAAAGCACGUAAAACAUGGUUUAUUAAACGCAUAAAAGUGCUCGGUGCAUUAGUAAGUCCAAACGGCAUAACUAACCAUUAAUACAAUCCAUACUUAGUCUUAAACGCCAUUUUCCAUUCAUCACCCUCCCGCAUGCGAAUUUGAUGAUACCCACUCUUAAGACAAUCUUACUAAAAAUGCAAGCACCAUGCAACUCAUCAAGCAUAUCAUCUAGCCUAGAUAUUGGGUGAUGAUACCUUACCGUGAUAUUGUUGAUAGCUCGGCAAUCCACGCAUAUUCUCCAAGUCCCGUCCUUCUUAGGCACCAACAAAACAGGUACAGCACAUGGACUCAUGCUCUCCCUGACAUAACCUUUGCUCAUCAACUCCUCCACUUUCUUUUGAAGCUCCUUCGUCUCCUUGGGAUUGCUUCGGUAAGCUAGUCGAUUCGGUAUGACAGUUUCGGGUACAAAGUCAAUCUGGUGCUCGAUGCCUCUGAUUGGUGGCAAUCCACUUGGCAUCUCCUCAGGCAACACAUCGUCGAACUCCUGCAAUAAAGACUUAACCAAAUUAGGGAGGGAUGUGUUAGAAUCCUCGAAAUUGAGGAGGGACUCCUUGUACACUAACAAUAUCAUUUGUCUAUUAUCGCUCAUAGCCUUUUUCAAAUCACUCUCUUUUGCAUAGAAGUUGACCUUUGGCUUUUCUCUCCGCUCAGCUGACUCUUUUUCUCUCCUCUCAACUGACUCUUUUUCUCUCCGCUCAUGUGGCUUCGCUCUCUUUUCUCCACUCUCAGCCACCUCACUAUUUUAUCUCUUAUUGAUGAUUUCACUAUUGCCUCUCCUUUUUCCCGACUCUCUUAUUCUCUCGUCUUCCUCACUUUUCAGCUUGAUUUGAUCUCCAUACACUUGUGCCGGUAUUAAUGGCGCAAGAGUGAUAGUCUUCCCAUCCUUGACAAAGCUAUAACGAUUUCUAUAACCAUCAUGUGUGACCCUUCUAUCAUAUUGCCAUGGUCUUCCUAACAAGAUAUGACCCACAUGCAUAGGUACCACAUCACAUACUACUUUGUCACUAUAACUCCCAAUUGAGAAAUUAAUUAAAACUCUUUUUUCACCCUAACUUCCCCACUUUCAUUCAAACAUUGCAACUUAUAAGGCCUAAGGUGUCUUAACAAUACUAGUCCUAAUUUCUUAACUAAAGUUGUACUAGCUACAUUCGUGCAACUCCCACCAUCAAUAAUGAUACUACAUACCUUAUCGUUGACAUAACAACGUGUGUGGAAUAUAUUUUCUCACUGCUGCUCCGAGUCAUCCACUUUAACUUGAGUGUUAAGAGCUCUCCUUGACACCAAUGAUUCCCCAACAGCAAACUCCAAUUUUUCUUCUUCUUCAACGUCCUCCAAUGAAGGCAUGUCCUCAAACUCUCCUUCACUUUCACUCACCACCUCUCCAUUAUCCAACAAAACCAUUACCCAUUUAUUUGGGCAUUGAGAAGCAAUGUGCCCUGACCCCAAGCAUCUGAAACACUUGAUGUCUCGAUUCCUUGAUGGUUGUGAAUCUGUUUUGGGUGCUGUUUUGCUAGCACUUUCUUCUUUCCCUUUCUGCCACUCAUUCCUACCUUUAGGUACAACUUUAUCACACUUGUUGUUGUUGUUCCACCUUGGCUUCCAAGAUGGAUUAACACUCGAAGUUCCUAACGGCUGCCUAGCUGUCCCUUUCCUCUUCAGCUCUCUCUCUACCUUCAUAGCCACAUGCAACAUGUCUUCCAACUCCACAUAAUAUUGCAACUCCACUACAUUGGCAAUUUCCCUAUUCAACCCAUUCAAGAAUCGUGUCAUGGUAGCCUCCCGAUCCUCCACCACAUUGGCCCUAAUCAUGAGUAUUUCCAUCUCCUUAUGAUAGUCAUCUACACUCUUCGACCCUUGAUAUAGAUCUUGCAAUUUUUGAUGGAUCUCUCGAUAAUAGUGGCUAGGAACAAACCUCUUUCUCAUCAAUGACUUCAAUUCCUCCCAAGUGCUAAUUGGUCUUCCCCCACUCCUACGUUGUGAAGUAAUCACUUGAUCCCACCAUGAAAUUGCAUAGUCACUNNAGUUUUUGAUGGAUCUCUCGAUAAUAGUGGCUAGGAACAAACCUCUUUCUUAUCAAUGACUUCAAUUCCUCCCAAGUACUGAUUGGUCUUUCCCCACUCCUACGUUGUGAAGUAAUCACUUGAUCCCACCAUGAAAUUGCAGUCACUGAACUCCAAAACUACUAAUUUCACCUUUUUCUCCUCCGAAUAGUUAUAACACUCGAAGAUCAUUUCAACCUUCCUUUCCCAUUCCAGGUAUGCCUCGGAAUCACUCCUUCCUUUGAACGAAGAAAAUGUCAUUUUUAUAUUUCCCAAGUUUCCAUCCAACUCCUCCCCGCGAUCAUUCUGACCCCGUCUGUCGAACCUAUCGCCUCUAUUCCUCAUCCUUCCCAUCUCAACACCGUGAAAUUCAUCUUCGCCCAUGUCACUCCCAUAUCCAUACUCCUCUCGCCUUUUCCUCCUAGGCUCCCAUCUAUCCGAUACAUCCACUCGAUGCCCCUACUAAGAUUAGCCACUGAUGUAUCUAAUCUAUUAAUCCAAGCCUCCUGCUUCUCCAACUUAUCUCUCACAUCUCCAAACGCCCUCUCAAACCUUUGCACUAAAUCCUCCGUUGCAUUGCUGUUAUUGCCUUGUCGGCUUGAGUUUGAUUCUGCCCUUUCUGACAUCCUAACAGUAAAAUUUUAUUUUACUGCCUCACCAAAAGUCACUCGGAACACACACAAGGGCUUUUACACUCUAUUAAGCUCACCUCUCUGCCUUUUACCACUCAGUUCUUUCAACAAUUGCUUCUAGGAACAACCAAUGAACUCAAUCAACCAAUCAAUUCGUGUAGAAUUUCCCAAAUCGGAUGUAACUCAAUAAUUGUAACAAAGGACUCAAAGAAAACUUUUAAAACUUGAUUUGAAUUGAAGGAAUGGAAUGAUUCAAUGUGUCCAAGUAAUUUAGAAACGAUAAUGAACAAUAAAAGUUAGUAUUUGACGGAUCAAUAAUAUUUAACAAGUCUUUUUUUUACUGUACGGAUGAACAGUAAUUUUUUUAGAUCCGAAAAUCAAUAACAAAACCAACAAAGAAAACAAAAACUGAUUUGGGUGAAAAUUGAGCCCAGAAAUGGAAUUUGAAGAUUUUUGAUGAAACGUUUGGAUCAAAAAAUCAAGAAAACCUUCUGGACACAAGAACACAAGGAAUUGAAAAAAUUUAGAAAACAAAGGAUAUAACUUGAUUAAAUUGGAGCCAAAGCUCUGAUACCAACUGAUGCGAACCCCGUAGCAAUGGAAACUACGAAACCCACAAUGAGAUUGAUGCGGAACCCAAGAACGCUAAUAUUAACCCGAUUUUGGAUCUUGAACCCCAAGAAACCCUAGAUUAGUGAAGAACCGAAAACCCCUUGAUUACAAUUAAAAGAACCUACAAUUCGAUUGAUAGAACGCCACAAGAAGUUGAAUCUUGAUAAGUUCCAAGAUUGUUCAAGAAGAACAAUAAAUUGAAAGAAGAAAUAUCUCUCUCUAUAAUAUUAAUUUAGAAGUCAAAAGUUCAAAGGUUGUUACAAUGAAAAGUAAUCUCCUAUUUAUACUAAUGAAUAAAAACGUCCAAAACCAUCAAAUUAUGGUAAUAAUUUGAUUUCAUAAGAAUUCUAUCGAAACUAGGAAAUUUGGCCAAAAAUAGAAAAUUCGCCAAUUUUUUUGGCUUGUGCGGCCGCAUGGUGUAAAUCCAUGCGGUCACAUGGUUCAACAGAAAUUGCACUUUUAGUUUUCGGUAUGCAUGUGUGCGGUCGCAUGGAGUUUUGCCUGUGCAGCCGCAUGGUGUUGUUUUCUGCCUCCGCUUUCGUCGCUUGAUAACAAAUUGAUCCAAGUCGAUUCGGCUUUCGACCCGAACAUGAAAGUUGCUCUAUUUUGAGUCCCGAACAUGGUUCCAUCAAUGGUUUCUUGAACGAGCAAUCCCAUCGCUUGUUUCACUUGCUUUGCGCUUGAUCGCGUUAUUGGUUUGCCUUCGACUAUCAACGGGUCUCGUCUCACACUUGCCUUCGUCGGGCUCAACUCCUAGAUCAUAUCAAUUAUUGAAUUUAUAGACCAAUGUGAUAAUUGAAUCAAAUGAUGUGGAGUUCUUUGAAAAUUCACUAUCUUUGGAUAAUGAAUUAAGGAAAACUCAUAAAGAAUAUUUUCUAAAGAUGUUAAUUGAUCUAUUGAACCUCGAAAAGCAAAAGAACUCAGAUAGAAAAGACUUUAGGACCGAAUGAAAUUAAUUCUUAACUUAUUUCACUUCACUUAGUAGAGAAAAAAGAGAAAAAUGCUGUAAGAUUAAUACAUUUUGUUCUACAAGUGAAAAUCAGUCCUAAAACCUAUAGAGAAGCUACUGCUUCUCGUGAUAGUAUCUUUUGGAUUAUGUAAUUAAAGAUGAAAUGAAUUCAAUUAGAUCAAACAACACGUGGGAACUUGUCGAUUUAUCACCAAAGUCUAAACCUAUUGAUGAUAAAUGGGUGUUCAGGAGAAAGUAUAAUAUAGAUGGUUCUCUUAAUUCUUUUAAAGUUAGAUUAGUAGCUAAAAGUUAUUGACAAAAAGAAGGAAUAAAUUAUUUCAAUACAUAUGCACAUCAAUUAGGAUAUUAUUCACAUUAGCAUCCAUAUAUUACUUGCAUGGUCAUCAAAUAGAAGUCAAAAUAAUAUUCUUAAAUGGGGAUCUCAAUGAGGAGGUUUAUAUGGAACAACUUGAAGGGUUUGUUUUACUCGAAAAUGAACAUAAGGUGUGCAAGUUCUUAAAAUCAGUCAUAUAGUUUAAAACAAGCAUCCAAGAAAUGGCAUGAGAAAUUUGAUUUAGAGGUUAUUUCUAUUGGCUUCAAACAUAAUAGUGUAGCUAAAUGCUUGUAUUCCAAAUUGUAUAAUAAUUAUGUGAUAUUUAUUUUCUUAUACAUUGAUGACAUGUUGAUUCUGAGUAAUCAUGUGAUGGAAUAAAAGAAAUGAAGAGGUUUUUAUCUUCCAUGUUCAAGAUGAAAGAUCUUGGACAAAGUGGAUACUAAUUCGGGUAUUACAGUUCUAAAACUAGUGGGGCAUUUUUGAGUCAAUUACAUUAUAUCGAUAAUGUGACUAAUAAGUUUAAUCAUUUGAAUAUAAAAGAGUAUAUUACUUCUCUUGAUCCAAAUUCUAAACUUAUAAAGAAUUAUGGAAGAGCUGUUGGUUAAUUGGAAUAUGCAAGUGUUAUUGGAAAUCUUAUGUAUGCAGUUUAAGGCACACGAUCGGACAUACCAUUUGCAAUUAGUAAACUUAGUAGGUUUGCUAGUAACCAAGCAAGGAACAUGGAAAUGCCAUUGGAAGAGUUUUUGGUUACUUAAAAAAAAAAUCAAAAACUUAGAUCUACAAUAUUGGCUGUAAUGGAGUGAUUUAUUGAUGCUAGUUGGAUAUUUAACACUGAUAAGAGUAAAUCUACUUUGGAUUUAGUUUUUACUCUUGAAGGAGUUGCAAUUUCUUGAAAAUUAAAGAAACAAACAUUCAUAAUACAUUCAACCAUAGAAUUUGAAUUCGUGGCAAUAGCCGAUUUCAAGAAAGAAGUUGAGUUAUUUAAGGAUUUACUAUAUGAGAUACUUUUGGGAUGAAAAAAUAUAUCUUCGAUAUCCAUCAUGAAUGAUAGUCAAGCUAAAUUUGCUAAAGCAAACAAUGAGGUAUACAACUAAAAGUGUAGACAUAUGAGUCUAAGUUAUGACUAUGUAAGGCAAUUAAUCAAGAGUGGAAUAAAUUCUUUAAAUUACAUUAAGUCAAAUGAGCACCCAACGGAUCAUCUAAUUAAACCUCUUAAUAGAGAUUUAGUAAUAUCUACUUCGAGUAGAAUAGUGUUGAAAUUCCUAAACUAAAAAGAUCUACUAAUGACGAAAACCCUACUUAUCAUUAUUAAAGCAAUAAUCCACGAGUUCAAAGUAUAAAAAUAAGUAAUUUGAUUGUGGAUAGUUUCAGCAAUAUAAAUUCCACAAAAAAUCCUAUCCUAAUUAUAUAAUGCAAAUUGUUACUUCAAGGAAGGUUGAGUUUUACAACUCUUAAUGAAGUUCAGUACUAAGUACAAAUAUCUUUAAAAGUAACAAAUAUAUUGGAAGAACUUCACCUAGACGAACUUCGAGAUAGUGUCAUCUCAAUAGAAUAGAGAGUUGGAGUUUCUCUCUUAAAAGUUCAACAAAUAUAAUGCAAGCAAGGCCGCAUUAGUACUAAGCGAGUUUACAGAACUUUUGAACACAUGAAAUUUGUAUGUGUGCUUUUAUUGGAAUCAUGACAAGGAAUAACUGGUACCUUUUAUGCUACUUUUAAUUUCGAUGAUACUUUGUGAGAAUUACGUUUUGGUUAGAUUUAAAUCAAAAGAUAUCUAAUCCUUAUGCAUAAGUAUUGCUAUUUUGAGUACGUGGUCCAUAAAUUUCUGAAUAAGUGGGAAAUUUUUGUUUUUGUUUAAAAUCAAAUGGAAAGUAUGGAUAAAUUGAUGAAUCAAAAGAAGGAAAUAAAAUUUGGAGGCAAAGUAUUUUGCUGGUGCAUGGGCAUAGAACAAAAAUAAACCCAUUUGUUGGUUUGAUUCUAGGCAAUUUUUUAGGAAAAACUCAACAUUUCAUGAGAGAUUGACACGUGGAUGGUGAAUAGAAUACCACAAAUAAGUAAUAGAUUUCAAUUAUAAAAGUACAAAUCAACAAUGAAAAUCAUAUUGUAGUGUUUUUAAAUUCAAUUCACCUAUAUAUUCAAACAUUCAAAAGUGAUCUUCAAGUUUUGGAAGAUAAAUACAAGUGCUUAGUUAUUUUCUUCGUCAAGGCUUUAUCGAUCAUACAAACCAUUUGUCAAGGGUCACUUAGAAGGGACAAAUAUCAUAUGAGGACAAUGAUCUCAUGCUUGAGCCUUUCUACUGUACUUUAGUGUUAUUGAUUCUUCCUUUUGUUCUCUUUUCCAUUCCUCUUGAAGGAUAAUAUUCCAACAGCUAAAAUACAAAAUACAGUUUUGCCAUUUGGGAUCUCAUUCAUUGGCUAGCUCUGUUUGUGUUCAAGUAUAUUUAGAGCAACAUCUGCAAAGAGUAAACACUUAGCUUCUUCCAUGGUUGUUUUAUCCUAUAUUAAUUAUUUUUCCUUAUUUAUAUAAUAUCAUACUACAAUUCAUAUUAAUAGUUGCCAAAAAUAGUGCAACAUAGACCUCUUUGAUAAGAUUUUGGGAUCCCAUUUAAUGGCUAGCUCUAGCUUGUGUUCAAGUAUUUCUCAAUCAUGAAUUAUGUUGACCCCAAAAAAUUGUCGCCAACUGAUUCUCGACAUCGUUCCCUUGCAAUUGCACAUGGAACAACCUGUUAGGAGGCAAAGGCCGCUAUUCGAAAAAAGGUUCGGCAACUGCUUGCACUUUGACAGUCAAUGGCUAAACAAAAUAUAUAAAGAGAGUGCAAGAGUCGAGAGAGAGAGAUGUGGCUAGGGUUUAGAAAACUUCAUACCUUUGAUUAUAAUGGAUUCGUAUGUGUGUGUGUGUAUAUAUAUACACACAUACAAAUGAAAUGAAUUGGGGCUAGCCUUUGGAGAGCCUCAGUUUGGGGCUUUUACUUGGCUGCCACUUGCGCCUUCGUUAACUUUGAUCAAACUCUAAUGGGCCUCAUCUAGGUCCAAUAUGAAAUGAUAAUUUUAUAAAGAUAACAAUAGUCUACCAAGUUUGAGUCGUAUAUUCAUGUGUGGGUCGAACUUUCUUUGUAUUUGCAAUUUUACGAAAUUUUAGCAACUUCACAGCAUUUAUUUGCUUUUCUAAAGAUGUGAUAUCUGCUCAUUUUGUUUGCUUUGUUCUUCUUUUCUUUUUGAAAAUGGUCCUCUUCGAGAUCCAGCUCUUUGUUUGUCUUGCCUUUUUUGGGUUGAUUUUUUAUUGGAGGUGACCUGCUUCGGGUCUAGCUCACUUUUCAAAGUGCCUCUUUAAGACUCGUAUGUUCAUUAAAGUCCUUCUUUUGGGCUCAUUUUUGUAUUUUUAUUUUCAUCUAAAAGAAUUGCAUUUGAAAAUAUCAUUUUUGUAUUUUUUUUCAAGGGCAUAUACUUCGAGAUUUUGCCUCUUCCUUUAUUUAAGAAACAUGGAGCUGGCUCUUCCUUUAUUCAAGGAACAAGGACUUCGAAAUAAGUGCCUCUUCCUUAUUCAAGGAAUGAGGACUUCAAGGUACCACCUCUUCCUUUUCCAAGGAUCAGGGAGCCACUUCAUCCUUUAUUUAAGGAACAAAGACUCCAAAAAUACGUGCAUCUUCCUUUAUUCAAGGAACGAGGGCUCCAAGAUACGUUGCCUCUUCUUUUAUUUAAGGAAUGAGGACUUAUAAAUGUCGAAUCUAAUAAUAAGGGAUCCGCAAGCUAGGGUUCACCUUCAAUCAUGCGAGGUUUUACAAGCUAGCCUCAGUGAGCUUGGACUUAUAAGCUCGCCUUUGAUUAAUAAGAAAUUCACAACUAGAAUCAAAAUUUGAUAUUUAACCAAGCAAUAUUUUCUUGCGUUUACCUCAUAAAUAAUUUUGAGCAACUUCUUCACAACACUUGAUGAACCAGUAGCAAUAAUAUGACCAUUCAUUACGUGAUCCAACACCUAGCAAUCUUUAAUAUUGAGCAAAGCAUUUCAUCGAACAAUUCGCUUGCAUUCUUACCAACCUUAUUUCUCUUACAAAAAUCUUUAGGUUAAAGAGAUGUAAAUUUAAAUUUAUAUCAUCUUCUUUCCUUAUAUCACAGUGCCUACAAGUAGUCAUUACCCUUUGAAUACAUUGUAAUCUAGAAGAAGCAGCAAUUGGCCUUGGUCCAAAAUGAAUUAAAAGGAGCAAUUGUCAAUAAAUUGAAGUAGACAAGGAAAUUAUGAAGUCCAAAUUAGGAUUUAUAACACGAGUCGUCACUUCUCUCACCGAUGAAAAGAAUGUCCAAGCCAAAUAAGUAGAAGUAGAAAGAAUAGGCCACAUGAAGAUCACUGUAUAAAGUAUGCAAUUGUAAUAUCCCAAAAAAUGUCGCCUACUAAAGAUGGUAAAGGACUUGAUCACUUGAAACUAAAAGAAUAAUAUGAGGCCAACUAAAAUGGAAUCAAUGUGGGAAAACUUUCAAGCCAGUCCACUAAACUCCAAACUAAUGUACACAUUUAGCCCCCGUUUGACCCCCAUUUUGUGGUAAUGAAAAUAGGUGAAAUAGUUUUUUUUUUUGUUUUUUUUUUGAAAAAUGAGUGAUUGAAAAAGAAUGAAAUUUUUUGAUUUAUGUAUAAUAUUAUUUUAUGAAAGAUCGUAUGGUUGAAAAUAGGAGAGAGAAAAAUAAAAUGUAAUGGAAUGAAAAUUAAUGGGGGCCAAACGAGCCAUUAACAACCUUGGAUGAAAUUAACAUUGAGAUUCACAGUUAUUGUUUGUCUGAACAUGCCACCCUCACUAUCAUACUUCCAUCAGCAUUAAUGUGUGUUGACAGUGGAAAUAAGCUAGGCUAACUACCAAGUUUCUAUCAUAUAUGGUGCCGAUAGUUUCCUAAUCGAUGCUCACCAGAUGCCUCCACAUAUGGUACAAAAGUUGCCCCAACCUUCAGCCACCUGACUGGAAGGCCGCAUCAUGAAUCGAGCUUUAAAAUAAAAAAAAAUGCAAUUGACAAACUUUGUUGGACAGUUAGUGUGCUUCCUACUAUACGGUUGCUCUCGUGUUACCUCGAAGACCUUGAAAGGAGGCUACCGGUGGCUUUGUUGGUAACUCUUUGAAGCUACAACUUAGCUGAAGAAUUUUCAUCUACCAUGUUGUACAUUCAAGACUCUUGACAAAAUGGGUCCUCAUGUUGAAAUAAGGAAAAUCCUAUUGAAUUUUGGAAUUUUGGUGGUAGAAUUUGCUGAAUGAUUUGUACGGCAACAAGGUGGAUUUUUGAGAAUAUUUAGUUUUUGUAACUGUAUGUGGUGGGAAAGAGAUUUUAUUGUGAAGGUUCCAUUAUCCUUAAUCAUUCUUGGUCACCACAUUAUGCCACUUCACCCUAGCUUGAAUGUCUAUUUUACAGUAAUGGUUGCAGUGCUGAAGAUUCAAGAUGCAAGAAAAUAUUGUUUUAGCUUGCUAACAACUCUUUUCUCCGUAUGUUUAUCCUUAUGGUGGCUGAUUAUUCAAUAUGGAAACUAAUUCAAGUAUCACUUUUCUUCCAUUUUUUAUGAUUGACUUGGCUAUUUUUUUGAUAGAAGAAACUUUCCGAAUCAUCAUCUUGAUUACUGUCUUUGCUCCUUUUUAGUAGAACAAACUACCCAAAAAAAUUUCAAUUUCUAGUGACCUUUUUGUACAUGGUUAACAUACCGGUUUACCACAGAUGGCGCCUAUCUAUGAACUCCAAAAAAUGUCGUCAACAGAUCCCCAGCCUCAUUCCUUCCACUCUUGCACACAAAACACCCCAUUAGGAGGCAAAGGCCGCCGAUUGAGAAAAAGGUUCGGCGACCGUUUGCACUGCAACAUCAAGUCAAUCGUCAAACAAAAUAUAUAAAGAGAGUGCAAGAUUUGGGAGAGAAGGAUUUGGCUAAGGUUUAGAAAACUUCAUACCUUUGAUUGUAAUGGAUUCAUGCACACACACACACACAUAUAUAUAUGAACGGGCCAAGAAGGUUAUGCAAUGUGGCCUAAGUCCAAGCCCAUCAUGACGUAACUUUAUAGGCAUAACAAUGUGUACUCCCAGGCACUUCAGCUAGACCUCUUGUGGCCUCAGUGGGUAUCUUUGAAGGCACUUCGAUUGGCCAUUGGAGAGCCUCAGUUUAGGGCUUUUACUUAGCUGCCACUUGGGCCUUCGUUAACUUCGAUCAAACUCUAAUGGGCCUCAUCUAGAUCCAAUAAGAAGGCCCUAUACGAAAUGAUAAUCUUAUAGGUAUAACAAAUUCAUUCAAUUAACCCUGUCCCUAUUAGAAAUACACAAAGUUUUGAGUUGUUUUAUAAACAAAUUUGUGUUUAUCAAUUCUACGUAAAUAAGAAAAACACAAGUAAAUUAUUUUAGAGAAAAAUUCAAACAUGAAUGACAUUAGAAAUCCGACUCCACCAAAAAAUUCAUUUUAAUUCUCCAACUCAUGCCAAUUUUUACAAUUCAUGAUCCUAAUUUGUUUAAUGACAUCUCGAUGGUAAGGUUAAACCUAUUUUCAUUUAUGACUCUAAAAUAUAUUUAUCAAUGUGAUAUAUAAAAAUAAUUCAACUUUACGAUCAUUUCAUUAAGUUUGUGCAAAACAUAGGAGUAUAUUUCUCUACGUAUCACACUCUAUGUUAUAUACUAACAUGUGCUGGAACCUAAAUUGAACCUCUCAGAAGCAAAAUAAGUCAUACAUUUGAACAGUGUUCAACCCUUCGAAUGUAUUAAGAACUUAGCACAUAAUUAACAAACAUAUGAAUUGAAAUAAAAAGAAAUAAUUUUCAAAUAAAACAUCAAAUUAUGGUUUACAUCAUCGUCCUAGUGAAAGGUUUGUAUCCUAACAUAUUGAAUUGUAAAAACACAAUUUUGUUCAUAAUACUUCGCCCAAAGUUUAUAAAGAUGAGAAGAAAGUAAAGAGAUCAAUUUUCAUUCCUCAAAUUUCUUCAAUGAAUUUUUAGAUCAACUUCUUCAUCUCCUUACUCAAUAACCAAUAACUUGAAUUUUGUGUUGAAAUCUCAAGAGAAUUUGUGUUUUGAUCUCUAAUGUUGUAUGUUUUGAAGAUUAGGUUUUGGGGAAUUUACUUGUCUCUAAUCGCUUGGAAUUUAGUUAUACAUGCACAGUGAAAUUUUAAAAUAAUUUUUGAUUUCCAUCAAUGAUCAUCGUUAAGUUCAGAUAGAAAUUGUGAUUAGAAUGUUACCUUUGAUGAAUUCUCAAGCUUCAAUGUGACUUUGAACUUGAUCUACCACGAUCUCUGUACACCAUAGUUGUUCAAGCAUUCAACCUCUAGUGGUAAUCCACACGAAAAUAACAAGAAUGAUAGGAUUAGGAUUUUGUUUUCUUAUACUAGCAAGAAUAGAAAUAAAUUUAUUUUCUCUCUAACCCUAAUUAUUUAUUAGAUGUUUAAAUACACCUGAUCCAUCUAGUAAACAAAGUCUAUAUGUUGACCUAUUAAUAAAUCGUUCCAAUUAAUUACUUGCAAAAGUGUCCAUAUUCGUCAAUAUAAUUAAUUCUUAAUUUCACUCUUCUAAUUCUCGCCUUUUGUAUAACUGAUUUGAUCCAUGGAACGAAGAUAAGCUCGGGAAAAGAUCCAUCGAUUGUCGAAGAAGUUCCGAUGACUCGGUCACGAGCAAAGCGGGUCAAAGAAGUGAUGGAAUUACUUGUACAAGCUACAAUGAACAAAACAUUUAUCAUUGCAAGCGAAGGGAUGAAUUGCUUGUUGGGCUUGGAAAGCUGAAACACACUGGACCUACUUGAUUCAAGCCGUAAAUGAAAGACCUGGCUGACUACACUGUGCGAUCACAAAGUGAUAGGACCCAUGCAACUGCAUGAUGAUAUGCAGAAAGCAGACUGGGGAAAAUUGGGUCUUCUAUGCGAUCGUAUAUAGUUACACCAUGUGGUCACAUAGAGUAAAAUGGAUACACGCGAAUUUUCUAAAAACUAUUAAAACUCUAUUUUUUGAUAUCUUAGUAAUCUUUUUAGACUUUAUUUCCAGUUUUAACUAGGUUUUAUGGGUUCUCUAUACAUAAGACUCAUUAUUUCAUAUAAAAACAUUCAUUGUUCAUAUCAAAUGAGAGAUUAUUUGGUGAGCUAUUUUGCUUUCAAAAUCCUGGUUCUUCAUUAAACAAAUUACGAAUUUAUCAAAAUUUGAUUCUUAUGGGAAUCAAACAACCGAGGCAAAGUUCUUGAAUUAUAGUGAUCAAGGAGUCAACAAAUUGUUAGCGAUUAUUGGUUACUUAGUUCAAUAUUUUUUAAUCAAACUCAAAACUUUAGUUUCUUAGCUUUCUUGGGUUUGAAUCAACCUCGUGUAGGUUUCGUAACUUCAAUUGUUACAUGGUUUCACAUCAAUAACCCAUUAGGUUCCCGAUCACUAUACUAGACGAUGCGAAUCAUUAUUCUUAUAUAACAAAGUAGGAUAAAUUGAAAAUUCUCCUUUCAAUUUAGCGUUAACUUACAAAGACUAAUCAACUUAUAUUUGUCAUCCCUGAUUGACAUAUAAAAAUUUAUUGGGGCAAUACACGCAACAAAAAAAUGUCAUGUAGUAACUAUUAUCCUUUCAUCAUUAUAAUCUGAUAACCUAUGAGAUAUAGAGAUGUGUCAACCUCGAUUUAAUCUAUCAUAUCUUUCAUCUCACUCAUAAGUCAAAACUAUUUUUGACUUAUGAACUCACCUUAGCCCAAGAUUUUGAUAUCAACAUAAGCAGAUAAACGUAAUGAUAAUCUUUACUAUCAAAAAGUGAGAAAUCAUCUAUUGAUCAUUCAUAACCUUUAUAUGAUUCUUGUCAAAGCUGAAUGAUGUCUUGUUAGUGACUCUUGAAAGGGCAACAUCCAACAUCAUCGAAGUAUAAAGAACCUCAUAUAAGGUGCUAUGACAUCAUCAAGUCAUAGGAUGAAAUCCAUUACUGCAUGUUACAUAAUCACCAGCACUGAGAUAGUUGUCAACAUGAAAUCUCUAUAGUAGGUCUCCAAUAUUUUCUCCUCUGAAAAAAUAUCAUCACAUCCAUUUAAAUUUCCCUGCGUUUUAAUUUUUGAAAUCAAUGAUUCAAUUUACUAGUGAGAAAUAUCAUCUAUCGAACAGCUCCAACUUGACACAAUCUAAAUGAAAUCUCCUAUUGAAGACAAUGGUGGUGCCAUUGAAAACUUGGAAUAUUAUCUUAAGAUUGUUGGUGCUACAUUCGUAAUGGUCGGGACAAGAAAUAGAUGAAUUUGUAGAAAAUUUUGUUGAACUCUUAAGCCAAAGAAACAAGUUGAAGAAACUGUUACGAACCUUUGUAGAAGAUCAAACCAAACCCAUUUCAUGAAGAUGUUUCACAAAGACUUGAAAUAAUAGCUCCGUGGUGGAUUACAAGGCAGUGCUUUUUUCUUUAGGCAAUAAUUGCUCUUGAUGAUGUACACUGGUAAGAAAAGAUACCUCUAGAAUACAGUAGAAUCUGAAUAUGGUGUAUGCAUUUUGCCUAAUGAAGACAAGCCCAAACACUAAGGAGAGAAGAAGCUAAUAUAGAGGGUCAUGUACUGUAUUUUCAAAUUACAAAACAUGGACAAACUUUGAAAAAGAAGAGUUUAACUAUGCACAAAAAAUAUAGUUUUAAGGUGGAAGAUGAAGGAAAACUCUAUCAUAUAUUUCCAUGUGUCUCGUAUAUGAAAUUAAAAAUCUUAUUUAUAGGUUGUUAAACUACUCUUCCCAAGAGUUAUAAUCAUUCACAAGAGACAACUUUAGAAAAUUAUGGUGAAAAUACAUCAAAAAACUGGAGAAACGGGUGCCAAAGAACUUGUUCUAGGGAGAAUCAUAGACAUUGCCCACAAGCGUAGGGCGGGUUUCAGAUGUCAUUAGCAGCUGCCCAAUAGCUUGGGGCAGCCGUCCCCACUGGCAUGCAGAAUACCUACAUGCUGCCAUCCGAUUGGGCAGCCAUCAAGGCUCAGUGAUCCAACCUAGUCCUCCCCACUAUCAAACCUCCACCAAACUAUUUCCUUGACUCUUAGAAGCUCACAAACGCAUCUAACAAUGUCCAAAACCGAUGUUAUUUGAAAAUUCUGCCACAAGAUUUAACUUAUUUUGUAAAACGAGCCUCUAUAAUCAAAUGCCUAAAGCUAUUCCAACUAAUUUACAAAGAAAUUGCAGGAAAAAUCUCUGUCAUAUCAAUUUAUGGUAAUUUCUUCAAUCCUUUUAGAUGAAUUCUUCAAAAAAAUAAAAAUAAAAAAGGAAAAAAAAGAAUACAAUAACAUAAAAACCCCUUCACAAAACCCAAAAAAGUACAAAAAGCUGAAACAAUAAUCACAAAUGGUAAAAAAAUUUGCACUAGUCAAAAGUGCAAUUACAGGAAAUGUCCUUUGCUUUAUUCUGUUAUCUCAUAAUAGAGUAGUCAGGCCAUAAAUAGCCUAAUAAAGCCUUUCGUUCCUUUCCAUGGAAAAUAUUCCUGAUCCAUAAGUAGAAUGCAUAACAUCAGCCAACAAAGGAAACUGUAAGAACGCAAAUAGCGUAACUGGAACACAAGCAGUGAGAGCAAUCGGGAUAAUAAUCCAAGCCAGUUGAUGUCCAACCACAAUGAAAAAGCUUGCACUAAAAGCAAGUAGCAUUGAUGCUAUCGAAAAGAAAAGUGUUGUUAGGCCAAUAAUCAGCCUCUUCGGCAAAGACUCAAGGAAAUCUUCUUCAGCAUAACGCGAGGUGAGGAUAGAUAAGAACAUCAAUAUAGAUGUCACAGAGGAGAACAGAGCUAGUGCAUCUGACAUGGAGAAAAUUAUAAAUGACUUGUCCUUAAGGAACAUAGGGGUUCCUGUAUCAUUGUUGUUGCCUCCUGGUACUGUAAAAAUUGCGGCAAACAUUACUGUAGUAAUAAGUGUUGCAACAAGCAUGCAGGAUGAUGCUGUAUCCUUCAUCCAUUUCUCCCCACUCUCGACUAAUCCCUUGUGUUCCUGAGUAAAUAGCAUUUGGGGUGUUCUACCUUCUGAGUCUUUCAUUUCCUUGUAUAAUGGCAGCAUAUUCUUCUCAACUUCCUUUGAAUUUUAAUAAGAAGAAGAGUGAAAACACAUGGAAAGCAAUUUUAAUUAACUUAAACGAGAAAGAAUAAAGUUUGAAUACAAUUUGAAAGUCACCUUAAACCACAGCAACUCCCGUUGCAUUUGAAGUGCUGCACCAGAGACAAUAUUAAGUCUGUUUGAAGGAGCCAAGUUUGCAGCCAAGUGCAACAUGUUACAAUUGCUGGGGUUCUUAUAGGAUGUGAUCAAAUCUUUGUAUCCUCCUAUGUCAUAAAGAAGUUUGAAGAUUUUUUCUUGGCGAUGAAUAACUGCAAUGUCAAAAAUGCUUCGACUUUGCUCAUCAACUUUCCAAAUGAGAUCAGGACAGGAGAGAAGAAGCUCCCUAAUGAACUGAAAGUUUCCAAAUUCUGUAGCUAUGAACAAUGGUCGUGAAGGGCUCCUGAGUAACUUCCCAAUUUCUGAAUCAUCCAAUAAGAAGAGAACCUGUUUCCACAAGAAUUUUACCAACUCCAGGGCUUGGGCCUGAGGCAUGGGCCUCACUUGCCUCGCCCCAGAACCGACCCUGGAUUUUAAGAGAUAUUUCUUGUCAGAUUUAGCUCGAUGGCAAGGUAUUCAUACCAUUUGAAUCAAUCUAAUUUAUAAUGUUGAUGAUGCCUGAAGAGACUUGAUAAAGAAAAUUUGUCUUCAACAUGACGUUUCUUGCUCCUUUAUGAAAUUUAAUUUUUCAAAUACACUCCAUCCUUCAUAAGUAUCACUGUUAACACUCAACUUAACAAUGUAGCAUCACCAAUUUAAUGCAUAACAUCUUUCUCUUCCAUUUUUAUACAACUGCAACUUGAAUUUCACAUAGUUGCUACCUGUAAGAUACUUGAAGAAGUGAUCAUAUUAGUGUGUAUGAGGACUCUACAUAUACUUGUGAAGAGUUACUAGCAACUAGGGGCAGACGCAGGAUGAAAAUUUUAGUGGGGCAAAACCAAAAAAUCAUAGGAAAAAACCUCAAGAAAAAUCAAAAAUUUGAAAAUCAAGUGGGGGCGGCCGACCCCACUCGGCUUCAAAUGGAUCCGCCCCUGCUAGCAACCUGUUCACAAUAUUUAAUUUAGGUCGUUUGCCAGCAUGUUUUGAAAUGCUUGGUCAAUCAUACCUCACAUUUUAAAUUGCCCUCGAAACCAAAAUUCUAUUUUUCCAACUUUAGUGUUGGUCAUCGGAUGUGAAUUUAAUAUGCAUUAGUUCCCAUGUGACCUUCAUGUCUUUUUUCUUUCGCAAUGGCCACGUAUUUGAAAUUCUAUGGAAUAGAACAAUUAUGACUCCUUAUUCUGAUCAUGAACUGCAUUAUGUUUUCCCUUUAUCCUUGUAAGAUGUGGAUUAUGAGGCCUCCAUUGCCGCAAAACUUACUGUUACCAAGAAAAUAUAUUCUCAACAGAAGAAAGCGAUGCUAAGUUCAACUUCCUUCUAGAACCUUUUUCCCACAGAACCAGGUUAUUAUAUUUUGACGCAAAUAUUGAUAUAGUGAUUUCAAUAUUUAUAGUUUUCUUCCAUUGGAGUUUUUAAAUAAAACCACCGCUAUUUAUCUGUAAUGUUGGGGAGAAAACGCGCGGAUCGACUUUGACUGACAAAUAAUGGAAUUGAGAAAAUACAGCUAAAAAUGGACACAGGUAUUUAUGUGGUUCACCUAAUUUAGGUAGACGGGCAAGUAUAUGAGGAUUUCACUAUAGUAGGAGAAUUACAACACACUCUCUAAAUACAAGGAGAUAACAACAAUCAAUCUCUCUUGUAAUUAGGAGAAAACAAGUAGGAAAAAAACUUAGGAGAAAAACAAUAAAUUUUCUCUCUACUCUUCUCUCUACCUUACAAUUUCCUCUCUUGAUUUUUCCUCUCCAUAUGGCAUACUUUCUCUCAAACUCUUGCCCAUAUUUAUAGAGAUUUUUGACCUCCAUAAGCGCUUGGAAGAGUCAAAGUUCUACCACCUUCAUUUGUUGGAAUUCUCUACACAUUUGGCUUGUCAAGUAAACGGAGAAAGAAAACUUGAAUUUCUCAACCUCCCUUGUAUGCAUGCAUGGAGUCUUUCUUAACAAUUAAGAAAUCAACUCCUUAUCCAUUUGGUCAAAAAAAUGUGGCUAUCAUUAGUUGGAAACUCCAAUUUUGCCACCAUCACCACUUGCAUGCAUGUAUGUAUUUUUCUUAUUUGUUAAGUAAUGUUUUAUGGUCAAAAAAUUGUGACUAUAUUUUCAACAUGUAAGAAGGAGAAGAUUUUACUACAUGAUAAGCUUUAUUGCAGAUAGUUCUUAAAUGUACUUAUUUUGUAGUAUCUUUUAUUGUUGGUAGGAUUGGUUGAGGCCCUAUGCAGCCUUUUACAUUCUACGUGACUUCUUUAAAACCCUAAUCACAGCCAAUGGGUUCGAUUUCCUAUUUUCUCACAUAGUAUAUGCAUUUUUUUAAAAUUUCUUGGUAUUUUCUCGCUUUUUUUUUCCAGCUCAGCGGUUCUUAUAUUUCUCUAUCAAAUAAUCUUAUGGGAUUAUGAUCUCUAAUUCGAAAGGUCUACAUAUAUUUUUGACAUCAACAUGUUAGGUGCUAACAAUUCUCUUUCCGUAUUUUCACCUUCAGAAGCUUGAUUGAAAAGACAACUUGCACUACAAUAUAAUUUACUUUCCUUACUUGUUGCGUUUAAUCUUUUUCCGUGACAUAUAAACACAUGGUAUGUUACAACCGAAUUCUUUUAGGUAGAAAAAUCAAUGGUUAUUUUAUUGGGGUUAUUUUAUGAUAAAAAAAUAUUUUGAGGGUUUAAGAUGAAUAAAAUUUUUAGUUUGAAUUUAUUUUUCUAAAUUUGGAAGUUAAGGAUUUAAUACUUUAUUAUAUGAAAUUUAGUAUCACUAAAUGUUAUAUUAUAUGAAAGAUGAUGGACUUACCUUGCAAAACCCCACUAAUUUGAUCAUUUGAACCCAAUUGCCAUUAUUUUUCAUACCAAACCGGGCAGAGAGGCUGGAAACGGCAGAGGAGGAAAAGAAGAAAGAAAAGAGAAGAGAAAGGAAGAAAAAGAAGAAGAGAAGGGAAAAAGAGGAGGAGAAAAAGGAAGGAAAAUAGGUAGUUCGAGCUUGUAUCCAUUCUCCUUUCUCUAUAUUUUCUUCAAGAGGUAAAGGAAUGAUUCUAUGUUAAAUUUAACUUCUGGCAUAAAUUUCAGAUUUAAGAGGAUAAGAGUACAAAUUGGAGCUCAAGUUUGUUGAUUCUUUAAUCUCCAAUUUCAUUAAGGUAAGAAUACCAAUUUUUGGAAAACCCUAGAUUUUAAAUUGGAUACUUGUGUAAGGAUUAAUUGUGAACAUGAUUAUGGCGAUGAUUUAUUAACUUGAAAGAAUUGAACUAUGGAAUAAGAUGUAAAUUAGAUUGGUGCAAGUUGAAAUUCAAGUUUCACUAGAUUAGAACAAAGAAUUGUUUGUAUGUUUGGGAUGUGCGUAAUUAUGAUAAUUUAAAGAUUAGUGAAAGGCUAGAAGGUAGAAUUUGUUUUAAUUGUGAAGGAAACUAAAGAAUAUAUUCAAGUGCCGAAAAGUCAAGUUCUAAUAUUUCAUAAUUAAAUGUUAUGAGAUAUUUAGUAUGGGAGUUGUUAAAUUAGUUAUUUUACAUCAUAUUUCAGGUGAUGACGUGAAAGCUCGACAAUGCUGGUCAAUUUGACUAGAUUGCUAUCCAUAGAUCUGUGAGUAGAGAAUCUACGUUUUCAAAAAGAAGAUUUUAUUUUUAUUUUUAUUUUAUAGAAGCAUAUUUAUUACAUGAAAUGCCUUAUUUUCGAGAAUUACUAGAUGAGUGUGAUUGUUUUGAAGUUAUUAGAAAAUAAUUGAUGUGAUUAUCUUACUCUAGUGCACUGAGGGGCUAUGACCGUAUACUAGAGUCAUGUAUUUAACUACUAUACAUUGAGGGGCUACAGCUGUGUGUAAGGUAACUUUUAUCCACUAAGGGGCUACGACCGUGGAUAAAGGCAUCUAUUAGACAUUGAGGGGCUACAGUCGUGUAUAAGAAUGGUUAUGUUUCCAUCUUGGACACUGAGGGGCUACGGCCAUGUACAGAGUAUUGAUCAGACGGUUUAUGUGCAUAUGAUUCAUAGCUUUCAGAUCAUUAGUAGAUGUUUACAUGGGAUAUAUUUUGAUGUGAAUUUUAAGUAUAUAAGGGAUUAUUAUCCUACAGCUUACAUUUCCCCGUUUACAGUUCAGCUUAUGGAUUUCAAAUUAUAGAGUUCAAUUUAUUCAGUUUUAAGAAUAAAGCUUCCAGCUUAUAAUAUUGAGCAAUAACAAUAUUCCAUAGAUUUUCAUGAACAUCAGAUUCUUUAUAUUCGUUAUAUUUUGCAGUUACUUGUCUAGAAUUAAGAACAAAUAAUUUUAUAAUGCAAUCAUGCGUAGUUUAAAAGUGCUGCUAGAUUUAAGCAUUUCUUGAAGAUUUAAUAGAGUUAGAAUUUUCAGAAAAUAUGCAUAAAUGGAAAAGCAUGCUUAUUUUCAAUAUAUCCACUCACUAAGUUACAAACUCAUAUUUUGUUACCCUUUUUCCUUAUCAGAUAGCAGCCGAGUUGAACAGUAUUGGAGCCUGUCGAUCCUUUGAAUUGAGCCACACGUCAUUAGUUGUAUGGUCUACUUUAUCAGAUUAGGUAGCACCUGUUUCUUGGGUUACAUGUAGUUUAUGUUAGAAAAGGUUGUCAUGAGAUCACUAUAUGGUAUAUUUAGUACAUUUGAGGAUUGUCGGUAACAAGUAAAUAUCAAAUUGUCAGUAUUUUAUUUUGAAUAGUUUGGAUUUUGAGGCACUGGUGUACUUGUUUUAUAUUAUAUGUAUUGAUUUGAGGAAAUUGAUUAUGGAUCAGGUGGUUUUAGUACAUAUAUUUGAAGAGAUUCUAUCAAAAUUCUUUAAAAUUUCCUCACAGUUAGACAAGUCAAGGUUGCGUUGGUGGUGGGUCCGGCACUUAGCUGAUAUCUACCAUCGGUGCAUGACAUAUGUCGGAUCCAUUAAGGUGAUUGGGGACGGGUCGUGUCAUGGUAAUUAUGAUGAUGAUGAUGAUAGUAUCUAAAACUUCUGAAUAUGCUAGAAAGAAAGGAGUAGAUCUGAAAGGGGAAUUGCCGAUUGGAGUUGACGAAAAUAGUGUGGAUACUUGGGUCUAUCCAAAUCUGUUGUACAUGAGCACCUCCACUGGGCACCUUCAAAUUAUUUUGACAAAAAUGGACAACAUUGAGGUUUCCUUAUAAUUAGGAAGAAAUGUCCAAAGAUAACUAUGCCUGGUGACGUACUUGUUCAAUGCAGUUUCAUUUUGUAACUUCGUGAUGUCUCGUUUUUCUCUUGUUUUUCAAAGUCCCUACAUCUUUUAGACAAUUCUGUAAUUCUAAAAUAACAGAAAUUCUGCUUUCAUUGACGGAUGGUCAAGUACUUCAUGAUUUAUAUAAUCGAUUGUAUAUUGGGUUUCUUCGGAACUUGGGAGUCCCCAGAUCAUGCAAUCAUUGUCUCUAUGAAAAUUUUUUACUGUCUAUUCCUCUAGCCAGGUAUGUCCUUAUCUUUCUCCUUCGAGAACUUGUCUUUUUUUUUUUUUUUUUUUUUUUUUUUUUUUUUUUUUCNNNNNNNNNNNNNNNNNNNNNNNNNUUUUUUUUUUUGUUAGUUACUUAUCGAGGCUAUAUGUUUAGCCCAAAUGCACUCACAUUCACUUCAUAACUAAUAAACUAAUUGUUACUGUAGGAGGAACUUCAAAAAGAAGGAAUAUGGGACUUUGAUUGCUUCAAUCGACUAUAUAUAUUAGGCAAAAGCUUUUAGAGGUAAUAGAUUUUUGUAUACUCAUUUUCUUCUACAUUUUGAUUUCCCUCAAAUUUGCAAUGCGAGUAAUGCUAUUGAAUUUCAACUUCUACCAUCUUUAGUAGUGAGAACAUGGUAAUCGACUUCAAAUCCUCCAAUUGUGCACUUAUAUGAUUAGUCAUGAACCAUUCAUUAUACACCACAAUACUUUUUAUGCUUAUUUGUUAUUUCCAAAAUUAUAUUUUUAUUGUCCAGUUCUUUUGGGCAUAUAUGUUCUCACGAUGAAAUGGAAACUUGUCGUUUCUUAUUCCCUUAGUUUCAAAAUUUGGAUAGACAUCCGUUUUUCCUCCAGUUUCUUUGAACGGUGUUUUUAUUCUCCACAAUUAUCUUUGCUGCUUUAUUGUUUGGUUAUGCUUUUUCUGGGUUACAGAUGAUUUUUGAUAACUAUUUUCAUUUCUGCUUGCUAAUUAUCUGGUCCCUCCUUUUUUUCUCAUCAUCUGUUGGAUCUACUAUGCAACUUUAUAACUCUUGUGACAUUUUGGAUUUUGCUUUCUCAUUAACCUACAGAAUAAAGGGAAAGUUUGGUUCUUAAAUUUGUAGGGAUCAAUAUUUUCUGGUCUAAAUAUUGCCUUUCAAUGAUUAUAUGUGAAAUCUAUAUUUGAGUUCUUCAUAUUUUAGCAAAAAUUUUCUGGUGCAUGUCCUACUAAUAGAAAUAAUGAAAUAAGAAGAUGUAUUCUCUACGUGGAAGAUAAUUUUGUUUAGACUAAAUCUUUCAUAGGAGAAAAAUUCCUACUGUUUUCAUGAUAACUUCCAGUGUUGUAGUAUGAUUCUAUAUUUUGCAUUCACAAUUCCUUUUCAUGUUGAAAUUUUCAAAUAUAAACCUAAUUCUUGUAGUAAAACUUUGAAAUAUUUAACUACUCUCGAGCCCUCAUCUUGCAGCCAACUCUCAAAUACAUAUAUCGCAAUCUCUUUUUUGUCGGAGGUCAAAAUUUUGUACUUCAUAAAUUAAUUUGUUCCAUUGUCUAAAAUGCAUGAAACUAACACUCAUCUACAAAUGACCAUUCAAUCGAUAAACACAAAUUCCCCCAAAACUUUCAUAUUCAAAAUGCUAACGUACAAAAAAAUACAACCCAUCCAUUGCAUGGUCAAUGCACAAGUUUUGACAAAAGAGUUUAAUAUUUCUUGAAUAAUUUGUCCUAACUCUGAAAGAAGUUUUGUGACAUGAAUAAAUUAUUUUGAGACUCUAACUCAAUCUCAUAGCAAGUUUAACCUACAAUGAUGCUAUAAAUUGAGAGAAGAGGGAGUAAGAGAGAGAUUGAAAGCACAAUAAACUUAAAAUUUUUUAACAAAAAUCUGCUGUCACAGCAAAUACUUAAAAUGUUUAACCGAAAAUUCUACGACCAAAUUCUUCAUGCUUUUCUUGUUCUUUUGUUCAAUCUUUGGGGCUUUUUCUAUAUAAAUCCUCGCAUUUGUAUCUUUGAAAAAAAAGGUCAAAAAAUUUUGUGGUGCAAGGAUGAUGAUGAUGGAAAUAAAUAGGAUAUUUAUAUCAUUUUACUCGCGAUUACUUAAUUCUUAUGGAGCACCUAAUACUUAUCGUGAUGAUAAUAUAAGUACCUUUGAUGAAUAAGAGAUAACCUAAUUGGAGGACAAAUUUUAGACUCAUGAAUCAGUUUAGGCAGCCAUGUCCUUACUUGAAAAUGAAUCCCUAGAAAAAUCUGGGAUUUCCAAAUCAGAGGUCUAAGAGUUGGAAUGCGGAAGUGAAAUUUUCUAGAAAUUAAAAAAAAAAAAAUCAAUAAACAAGAUCGUCUAGACGUUGUUCACGUGCAUGUUAUGUCAAGAAUAAAUGAAUCGAACUUUUACCUAAAUUCGAUGAUCAAUGCUUGAAUUAAUUCUGAAUCUCGAAUUUAGAGCUUUUUGGAUGAUGAACUUCUAGCUUUUUAAUUCCAAGAACUUAAUAUUUCAAACGUCCAAGUCUUUAAUAGUAUUCUCCAGAAUCAAGACUACAUCGGUGGGUGGGUAAUUGUCGUGGAAAUUCUUCGAUAAGUCUUGAUUCCGGGCUCAGAAAACAACCAAACGAACACCAAUUUGUUAAGAUUUGCGGUCCAUCUUAAUAAGGUCAACCUUAUUAAGAGGAGUAGCCAAAGAUCUAUUUAAAUUGGUCAAUAUUUCAGUAUUUAACCGAUGUGGGCUUUAUUCCCUUAACAUGCCUCCACAAGAUGAUGACUCUUUUUUAGCAGACCAAUCUUGAAAUCCGUGUACUCAUUUUUGAGACUUAAUCGGAUCGAAUAGCUCGUUGGAACUUACUAGGCUCUGAUACCGUGUUAAGAUUUGGGAUCCAUCUUGAUAAGGUCAACCUUAUUAAGAGGAGUGACCCAAGAUCUAUUUAAGUUGGUUAAUAUUUCGGUAUUUAGCCGAUGUGCGAUUUAUUCCCUUAAUACAAUUUACCUUGGCUCGACCCAAAGCUUCACCUUCACUUUGGACUGCCCCAAGCUCUUUCAAACCCCACAAAGGAGAAGUGAUGGUGGUGGUAAUAGGAAGAAGAAGAGGCAACAAUAGGGGGAAUCACUCCAACAAACCCCCCAAGCCGGCUACCGUCAACCCUCUUGACCCUCUCUUCCACUCUCACACACUGACCACCACAAAAAGGGCUGCAAGAAGAUGGGUAUAUAUAGGAUAUGUUAGGUACACAACUUGGGGAAAAGGCUUAUGCAAAUGGGCUUCUACUUAACCUAAACAAAUGGGCUACCAAUUAAUCCAAAACCUACAAUCUAAUAACCCAACUACUACUUGGACCAUCCACAAGUUUAGGUUAUUUUUGAGUCGAGCCAAUUCCAUGGUAUCGAUAAAUAAUUUAACAACUGUUUUAAAUCAUCUCCCAGAUAAUUCAACAACUGUCUUGAUCCUUGGGAGCUCACAAACGCAUCUAACAAUGUCCAAAACCGAUGUUAUUUGAAAAUUCUGCCACAAGAUUUGAUUUCUUUCUGUAAAACGAGCCUCUAUAAUCAAAUGCCUAAAGCUAUUCCAACUAAUUUACUAAGAAAUAGCAGGAAAAAUCAGUGUCAUAUCACUUUAUGGUAAUUUCUUCAAUCAUUUUAGAUGAAUUAACGUACCCAUAAUUCUCCAAAAAAAACAAAAAAAAAAAAAAAAAAAAAAAAAAAAAGAAAAAAAAAAAAAAAAAAAAAAAAAAAAAAAACCCCUUCUUCCAUGGAAAAUAUUCCUGAUCCAUAAGUAGAAUGCAUAACAUCAGCCAACAAAGGAAACUGUAAGAACGCAAAUAGCGUAACUGGAACACAAGCUGUGAGAGCAAUCGGGAUAAUAAUCCAAGCCAGUUGAUGUUGAUGUCCAACCACAAUGAAAAAGCUUGCACUAAAAGCAAGUAGCAUUGAUGCUAUCGAAAAGAAAAGUGUUGUUAGGCCAAUAAUCAGCCUCUUCGGCAAAGACUCAAGGAAAUCUUCUUCAGCAUAACUCGAGGUGAGGAUAGAUAAGAACAUCAAUAUAGAUGUCACAGAGGAGAACAGAGCUAGUGCAUCUGACAUGGAGAAAAUUAUAAAUGACUUGUCCUUAAGGAACAUAGGGGUUCCUGUAUCAUUGUUGUUGCCUCCUGGUACUGUAAAAAUUGCGGCAAACAUUACUGUAGUAAUAAGUGUUGCAACAAGCAUGCAGGAUGAUGCUGUAUCCUUCAUCCAUUUCUCCCCACUCUCUACUAAUCCCUUGUGUUCCUGAGUAAAUAGCAUUUGGGGUGUUCUACCUUCUGAGUCUUUCAUUUCCUUGUAUAAUGGCAGCAUAUUCUUCUCAACUUCCUUUGAAUGUUAAUAAGAAGAAGAGUCAAAACACAUGGAAAGCAAUUUUAAUUAACUUAAACGGGAAAGAAUAAAGUUUGAAUACAAUUUGAAAGUCACCUUAAACCACAGCAACUCCCGUUGCAUUUGAAGUGCUGCACCAGAGACAAUAUUAAGUCUGUUUGAAGGAGCCAAGUUUGCAGCCAAGUGCAACAUGUUACAAUUGCUGGGGUUCUUAUAGGAUGUGAUCAAAUCUUUGUAUGCUCCUAUGUCAUAAAGAAGUUUGAAGAUUUUUUCUUGGCGAUGAAUAACUGCAAUGUCAAAAAUGCUUCGACUUUGCUCAUCAACUUUCCAAAUGAGAUCAGGACAGGAGAGAAGAAGCUCCCUAAUGAACUCAAAGUUUCCAAAUUCUGUAGCUAUGAACAAUGGUCGUGAAGGGCUUCUGAGUAACUUCCCAAUUUCUGAAUCAUCCAAUAAGAAGAGAACCUGUUUCCACAAGAAUUUUACCAAUUCCAGGGCUUGGGAUUGCAUCAGCGUUUUCUCAAUAACUCCCUGGAUUCCUAGAUUUAUAAGGAAACAAAAGUCAAAUCACCAAAGUUGAUGAACACGCUUAUUAUGGGACUUGUAAUGCAUUCUAUACCUGUUAGGUUCAUAACAACAUUGAGAAGUCUGAAGUUGCUAGUACGACCAGUCUUGUUCAACAGUUUUGCACUCACACCUGAAAUAUAGCUUGAUGUUGUAGAAUUCUAGAAUACUUGAUUCAAUAAAGAACACAAAUGAGAGUCCCUUUUCAGUUUGCCAUGCUUUGACAGAUUAACAUAUUGAUUACAAUUUAAACAGAAAUGAAAAAUCUUACAGCGGUAAAGACAUCUCUUCCAGAUUCCUAGUUCACUUUUGCCUGAAAAUGCUGGAGUCUUUCGUGCUAGAACAUGAAGUGCUGUCUCGCCACUGGGAUCUCUUUCAAUGGCUAGUUCUGGUUUCUGUUCAAGUAUAUGCAGAGCAACAUCUGAAAAAUGUAAACAGUUUGCCUCAUCUAUGCUGUUUUUUAAAAUUAUUUAUAUAUACGUUUGUGGAUCGAAUGCUAUCUCACCAUAUAAAUCAGAGCUAAUGGUUGCAAUUAGUAGCCCAACAUAGUCCUCUUUGGUAAGAAAUUGGCUAUCCGUUACCGAAGAAAUAUACCAGACCAUGUCUCUGUAUCCCAAUAAAGCAGCAAUGUGUAGGGCUGUCACUCCAUUGAUACCUCUUAUCAUAGGCAAGUAUCUGUUUUUUGCUACCAUUAACUCUGCAAUUUUUGUAAUACCAGAUGCAACAGCAAAGCAAAGUGCAGUAUUUUCGUACUUAUUUUUAAGUGCCAAAUCCAAUGGAUCCAUCAUUUUGACCAAUUCUUCUACAAAUAUUAUCCGUUUUGCGCCUGCUGCAAUAUGCAGAACACUUUCCCCUCCGUUUGUGAUCCUUGCAGUUAUUGCUUGAGGAUGUAGAUUGAAAAAUUCUUUUGCUUCUUCCCAAUCACCCUUGAGUGCAGCAAGGUACAGAGGCACAUACAAUGCAAGGUUCCUGGCUGAAUUAGUCCGCUCUAAUGUUAAUGAACCAGAGGCCCAAGUCAGAAAUCCAAUAUACUUAUGUUGGUCAUAGUCUACAAAAUGACGGCAGCGACAGAGAAAUCCAGUAGAAAAUACAUCAUUUUUUUCUAUUCGACUAUUGGCAAUAUAAAAAUAUCAUGUGGAGGUUAUUGGCUCCCUCCGAAUUUAGCCAUAGAAUAUUAUGGUAAAAAGGGUUUACUUACCGGCUCCCUCCGAAAAUGAAAUACGAUGUGCUUGUGUCCCAGUAGGAAAGAACUGCAAGGAAGUGUGAUUUGGGAUUUGACCAUUGGAACAGUGGGUUGGCUGAACUUAAACGAAAGGGUAAGAAGUGAUUCCAGUGUUGUUCAAAUCAGGUUCUUCGGCACCACCAGAGGCUGGGAUGCAGUUUAGUUCCCGGAAGCAGGACUGAAUAGAAAGAGUUCUCUGAAGUUGAAACUUACUCGAGUUUUCCAUCACUCGCAACCAGAUCAACUACUACUUCAAGCUAUGGAAAUAAAUAAUAGCCAGAAAUUAAGAAGCUAGAAUGAAUUUCUUCAAUAUGAAGUCAACUCCACCAUUUCUAGAAACUUACCAUUAGUUGAAAGUUUUUUGAGCAAGAUAAUGCUCAAUCAGUGCAAGGAAAAUUCCUGAAAGAUGUGUGACAUGAAGAAAAUAAUACUAACACUUUAUAAAAAAUAAUUUCAAGUCAUAAUCUUUGGAAAGGUAAAAGAUAUAUUCGACUCGUUUGGUCACAUCUAAUCUUUGAAAAGAUAAAGAUGGCACAUAAAGUUAUAAACUUUUUGACACCACUACUAAUUUUGAGCAACUUCUACAAUUAAUUUAUUGGCUUUUUCUGUCAAUUUAUUCGCAUUGACAGAGACAUCAACCCCCCUUCUUCUUCUUCAUUUUUUUUUUGUCAAAUAUUGACAGAGACUUUCUGUCAAUUUAUUCGCAUUGACCGAGACAUCAACCCCCCUUCUUUUUCUUCUUUUUUUUUUUUUUUGUCAAAUAUUGACAGAGACUUUGUGUCAAUUUAUUCGCAUUGACAGAGACACCAACCCCCCUUCUUCCUUCUUUUUUUUUUUUUUUUUGUCAAAUAUUGACAGAGACUUUCUGUCAAUUUAUUCGCAUUGACAGAGACAUCAACCCCCCUUCUUCUUCUUCUUCUUCUUUUUUUUUUUUUUUUUUUUUUUUUUUGGUCAAAUAUUGACAGAGACUCUCUCUCAAUUUAUUCGCAUUGACAGAGACAUCAACCCCCCUUCUUUAUUUUUUAUUUUUUAUUUUUAUUUUUUGUUGUCAAAUCCACCCUCCCAAAAAGAACAAGAAAUAUCGGGAAAACAGAAUUUGGUGGAUUCAGUUUGACUUUGUCGUUUUGAUUAUAUUUUAUUUUGCCAUUUGGAUUUACUUAGUUCUAGCUAUUUAUUUAUAUAUUUACAGUUAACGCCGCUAUCCUUGCUUAAAUUAACAAUUUUUUUUAAUUUUUUUUUUACGGGCGGUUCAUGGUAGGGACUUUUUUUUUUUUUUUUUUUUUUUUUUUUUUUUUUUGGGCUCAUUCGGGACGGGGUAGGUUUUUUUGCCAUCUUUACUCUCUAAUGACUUAAAUUUUCAAAACUCUGCAGCGAUGAAUAAUUAUCGUAAAGGGAGGCCAAUAACUAAAUCAUAUUCAUUAAGGUUUCCAACGUGAUUAAGCACUUUGAUUAAAUGUUUCUAUAAUGCUACUGUUAAUUUUACUUGUUACCCAACAUUAUAAUCACACCAUAAUUAAUAUCAAUUUUAAAAUGAAAACAUCACAACAAAUUUACAGUUACAAUCCUAACCCAAUAAAAAUUAAAAAUGCAUUUUUUUUUUAUAUAUAAUGUAUUCUCCAUCCAAAAAUUGCUCAUUAUUUCCCUCAUCUUUCCCCACCCAUUCUUCAUCACAGAUUUUCCCCAUCCACCCCUAGUUUAAACUAAUAAAAUUGGAGGAAAGGUAGAAUAAUAUUCACUUUUAACACUCAAAUUUAUAAUGGCAGAAUGCAUGAAGAGAAUUCUCUGAACUUCCCCAUAGAAUUUCAGAUCCAUUUCCUAAUUUGCAUUUAGAUUUUUUGACAUAAAAGAUGUGAAAAAUAAACAUGCAAAUCUACUUUAUUUAUGUUCUUCGCUUAUAAUUUUGACAAAAGAGUUUAAUAUUUCUUGAGUAAUUUGACCUAACUCUAAAUGAAGUUUCAUGACAAGAAUAAAUUAUUUUAAGACUCUAACUCCAUCACAUAGCAAGUUUAACCUACAAUUAUACCAUAAAUUGAGAGAAAAGGAAGUAAGAGAGAGAUUGAAAGCACAGUAAACUUAUAAUUUUUUAACAAAAAUCUGCUGUCACAGCAAAUACUUGUAAUAUUUAACUGAAAAUUCUACGACCAAAUUCUUCAUGCUUUUCUUAUUCUUUUGUUCAAUCUUUGGGGUUUUUCUAUAUAAAUCUUCGUAUUUGUAUCUUUGAAAAGAAGUUCAAAAAAUUUUGUGGUGUAAUGAUGGUGAUGGAAUGAAUAAAUAUAUCAUUAAACAAUAAACAGGAUAUUUAUAUCAUUUUACUCGCGGUUACUUAAAUAAAUAAGAAAAUUGUGGAGCACCUAAUACUUAGAGUGAUAAUAAUAUAAGUACCUUUGAUGAAUAAGAGAUAACCGGAUUGGAGGACAAAUUUAAGACUCAGGAAUCAAUUUAGGUAGCCAUGUCCUUACUUGAAAAUGAAUCCUUAGAAAAAUCUGGUAUUUCCAAAUCAGAGGUCUAAGUGUUGGAAUGUGGAAGUGAAAUUAUCCAGAAAUUAAAAAUAAAUAAAUAAAUAAAUUCAAUAAAUAAGAUCAUCUAGACUUUUACGUAUAUGUUAUAUCAAGAAUAAAUGAUUCGAACUUUUAUCUAAAUUCAAUGAACAAUUCUUGAAUUAAUUCUGAAUCUCGAAUUUAGAGCAUUUUGAAUCACGAACUUCUAACUUUUUAAUUCCAAAAACUUGAUGUUUCAAACCUCCAAGUUUAUAAUAUUAUUCUCCAGAAUCAAGACUACAUUGGUGGAUGGACACAUUUUUUUAAUUAAAUAAAGAAACUAAUUCUUGAUCUGGACAAUUGGGAAAAAAAAAAAAAUAUUUCCAAAAUUUGAAUACCAUGAAAUUAUGUAUUAUGAUUUUAUACAAUUAUAUAGGAUGUCUAGAUUCUAUCUAAUCUCUUUUUAUAGAUAUAUAAAAGUUCCAAUUCUUAUACAAUAAUAAUUCAACAUUUAAGUAGGAGUUCUAACUAAAGUCCAAAUCAAAUUAAUUUAUAUUUGAUUACAUGCUUAGCCUUGGAAAUUCAAUUAGAAUUAUAAUUAAGUUUACAACUUUCAUAGUAAUUAUAAUUAAGUACGAAACUUUAUUUUAAUUAUAAUUAAGCCCAUAACUAUUAUAGUUACCGUAAUUAAGUUCUAAUACUUUAUAGAACUACCAUAUACUCUAUAUAUAAAUUUAGUAUCGUUUUAUUUGGUUACCAAGAUUAUAAACGAGAGCCUCUAAGAGGUUCGUACAUGAUCUCGAUUUGAGUGUAUAACUUUUGUCUAGAUAUCUAGCUACUUGAAAAUAAUUUCGCCAUCUAUAAAAUGGUCACAAAUUAUAUUCUUAUUUAGAUAAUUUUACCGUGACGGAAUUCAAUCAAACAACUUGAACUACGUGGCCCUCCUACAGGAAGUUCAUUAUAUUAUUGGCACGAGAUAAGCACGAUACUUUGCUUAUGGAUUGACCAAGGGAGACCAUCAGUUUUUAUUUGAAUAAACACUCGCUCCACUCAAUAUUUUUAAGUGAUGGAUUUUAAUAAUAAAUAAUUACCAAUUGUUCACAUUAAUUAAAUUAAUAUACAGUAUAAUUAUUAUGAAUUUUUUGUCCAAAAAAGUUUAGUCUAAAUUAAAUUGAUCAAGAAAAAUUUAAAUAAUUAUAAACUAUUGAUAUUGAUCAAAUUAAUAUACAGUUUUAGAAAAAAUUAAUUUAAGUUAAAUUAAUCAAGAGAAAUUAAAAUAAUUGUCAACUUUUCACAUUAAUCAAAUUAAUAUACUUCCUUCCCAAAAAAAUUAAUCUAAAUUAAAUUAAUCAAGAAUAAUAAUAAAUAAUUAUCAACUGUACACAUUAAUAAAAUUAAUAUAGAGUUCAAUUAUUACUAUUUUUCCAUCUAGAAAAAUUUAAUCUAAAUUAACUUAAUAAAAGAAAAGUUCGUGUUCAAUGAUAUACAUCAUAUUCAUAGUAUCACAAGUGAUAUCACAAAUAAAUCUAUAUGUCAAAAUAUCUAUAACGAUUAUAUUUCAAACAAAAAUUUAAAGCAUUCAUAAAGUGAUAAAAUUAACAAUUAUUUGUGGUCCAAAAUAACUCAAGAAUUAAAUUAAAAACUAACUGGACCCAUGCCCAUAAAUAAUCUAAAUCUUCAGUCUAAAAAAAUUUCAAGCAUCCAGCAAUAACAACCAUACAACAAUAGGACUCUGUCACUGUACCUGAAAAAUUAACUAAUUUAGAAUUUGACUUAUCCAGAUCUGACCCGAUUCGCAAAACGAACCCAGACCAAAAGUCAACCUAAAACAGCAGCUUGUUGGAUUGGUGCAACGGGAUACAACAGAUCGCUGCACCAAGGGAGCAUACUGUCGCCUUGCGCAACACUUAGCAUAGCAACAUGCUUGUUUCGCACAACAAUAGCUUGUUGCAGGCAACAACUGUUGCUUUCUUGGAAACAUUGCUGCAAAUUUUUUUCUUUUUAUUUCCUGCGUCAAAUUCUCGAAUUCUUCCUCGUUUCAACUUCAAUCUUCAAUCAAUUUACAAGAUACAAAAUUACAAGAAUUACACAAUUCCUACGUCUCGUGGGCUCACAAUUUUGAAUCUAAUUGAACAGAAAAUUAAAUCAAGAUGAUGGAGUCGUGAUUCAUCGAUCUUGUUACAGGUUUGAAAUAACGAAUUACAUCAAGAAUUGGCCACAAAUAAUUAAUUCACAAUUUAAAAAGAAUUCAAUCAUUCAAUCAACAUAUAAUAAAUUAUUCCUAGACAUCGUUCGACUAUGACGUACAAUCAAGAUUCAGAAAUAACAAACACGUGAACAAUAUAGAUUACACUGAUACUAGUUGUUAGACAUUAAAAUUAUAUAAUUCAAUAAAUAUGGUCGUGUAGAUGUUCACAUGUAUGUUAUAUCAGAAUAAAUGAUUCAAACUUUUACCUAAAUUCGAUGAUCAAUUCUUGAAUUAAUUCUAAAUCAUGAAUUUUCAACUUUUUGGAUCAAGAACUUCCAGCAUUUUAAUUUCAAGAACUUGAUAUUCUCCAAAGUCAAGACUACAUCGGUGGGUAGACAUCUUCUUUUAAUUAAAUCAAGAAACUAAUUCUUGAUUUGGACAAUCAAAAAAAGCAAGAAAAUUUUUUCUUUCUUUCUUUUUCUCUCUCCAAUGUUUGAACACCAUAGAAUUAUGUAAUAUAAUUUUGUAUAAUUUGAUAGGAUGUAUAGGUUCCUUCUAAUCUCUAUUUAUAGAGAUAGAAGAGUUCCAAUCCUUAUAUAAUAAUAAUUCCAUAUUGAAAUAGGAGUUCUAAUUGAAAUAUCAAUAGGAGUUUUAAUUAAAAUCCAAAUCCAAUUAUUAUAUAUUUAAUUAAUGUAUAGUCCUAGAACUUCAACUAUAAUUAUAAUUAAGUUUACAACUUUCAUAGUAAUUAUAACUAAGUAUAAAACUUUAUUGUAAUUAUAAUUAAGCACAAAACUAUUAUAAUCACCGUAAUUAAGUUUCAAUACUUUAUGGAGCUACCAUAGGGAUCUGAUCGGACAUAUAUUAUUUAAACUCCAAUAAUUGGAUCCUGUCUAGUUGACCCUAGACCACUCAAUCUAAUUAUUAGUCUUUACUUUUCCAUUAAAGAUAAAAGACUGAACUCUCGAAAUAUAUAAGAUCACAGAAGUCAAUAAAUCUGUAAUACUUUCCUCUGACCUAUCGUAUAGGUAUGUUAUGCCCGUCCGAGAUUCGAUAAUUAAGUAAGAACACAAAUGACCAUCUUGUCUAUCUAAUUAUUGCCACUAACUUAAAUACCAUUUUCUUCAACGGUCUUGUGAAUUAAUCAAAAACGUCAAAGUUUAGUCAUCGCUGAAUACUGAGCUCAAAUUUUAAUUGUUUAGUAGAAAAUAUUUAAGUAGUCACUCUACCAAUUUUUUAGGAUAAUGGUUCCCGACAUGAAUUCAUGCUCUCUACUCCGCUCAUUCUCAAGUUCACAAUUUAUUGAGAUAUUUGACCAAUUAAAUUGAUUUCACCCAUUGAUGAAUCAAAGAACCAUUAAAAUUAGGAGUGGGCAUAGGUUGGGUUGGGUUGGUUUUUGCCCAAACCCAAACCCAACUCAACAUGUUCGGUUUGAUUAAAAAUCAUACAAACCCAACCCAAUUAAAUAUUGGAACCCAACCUAAUCCAACCCAAUCAAGUCUCGAUCGGGUUGGGUCAGGUGGGUUGGUUUGGCAAAGUGUAAUAAAACAUACUCAAAUAAAACAUGUACGUCAUCCAAGUAAAAUUAAUAUUUAGUAUGGGGAACAACUAUCUGAAUAAAAAUUAGACCAAAUACAACUAAUAUAGUCAUGAUCCAAUGUCAAUAAACUUAGAAACUAAUACAGACAGUAAACUUGUGAUAGACAGCUACCUAAGCAAAAUGAUUCAUCAAAAGCUUUGCAUCUCAAAAGGGCUGUCAUCUAUUGUAAAUAUUGCAUCUUAGAAAAGCUGCCAUCGAUUGUAUCUCGGACCUCAGUUUGCAAUCUCCAAACAAAUCGCAACAAAAAAUAGAAGCUGCUGAUUCUUAUUUGUACAAGUAAACAUAUCACAUAAAAUUGAAAAUGUUGGAAGCUUGAUCUGUCUGCAUAAUAGAAGCAUAAAAACUUGAUUCACUUAAAUUAAAGAGUUGCCAUCCAAUGUAAAAUUUGCAGGCAUUGUCAUCUAUUGAAUUAGAAGCUUGAUCUUGGAUAUAUACUUGCACACACUAUGAUGUGAUAUGAACUAAAACUAGUAAUGAGAUUCUUUGGAUUCUAGAGGAGGGUAUUACUUGAGAAUGAUAAGUGGUUGUGUCAAAUCUUUGAUCCCAAGGCUAGAAAGUUUGGAUAAAGAGGUUCCAGUCUAGCCACCUCUUUUCAAACCAAAACAAGUAGGUUGUCCAUUAAAGCUACCAAUCUUUUGAGAUUCUAAAACCAUAUAGCAUAACAUAGUGAUUGUAGAUAUACAUAUUUAAUUUGAUUAAACGAAUUAUAAGACAUCUCAUAGAAACAGUGAGAAGAAAGGAAUUUAACAAGACUAGAGACAUAAAGUUUUUACUUACAAACAUAGCAGGAGUAGCAAUUAUGACCAAGCUCAAUUAUGUUAAUAUAUAGCAAAAAUAAUUGUACAAUACUAGAGCUCGAAGUAUCAAGUGUCCUGUUAGCAUAUAAAAAAGUGAAAAAAUCAGUUCUAGAGAACUAAGAAACCUGCUGGAAAUAUACAAACCAUGAAAUUAUUGACAUAUUAAUAUGCCUAUCUCAAAAGUGAAACCAUGUAAAAUGAAAUGAAUCACUUAGCAUUGGGCCUCAUCUUCAGUUGAUUUUGAAUUCAUUUAUUCUUAAAGUUCAUCCAUUUGGUUGUAAUACUCAACAUCUUACAUGGAAAAACCAUCCAAGUUCGGAGAAGCCUUUAACCAAUUUUGAGUGCAGACUAAGACCUCAACCAUUCUAGGACUUAAGGAACUACGGAAAUGAUCAAGUAUCAUUCCUCCAGUACUAAAUGCACUUUCUGAAGCAAUAGUUGAAAAUUGAAUUGCCAACACAUCUUUGGCCAAAUUGGACAAGAUGCUAUAUUUAUUUCCGUCCACCUUCCACCAAUCUAGAACUUCAAAAUCCUUACUCUCUAUGCUUUCAGGAGCAUCCAAUAAGUAUCGUCCAACAUCAUUUUUUAUCUCAACCUUAUCAUUAAUUGCUUGUUUUUCCAUAAAUCUAGAAAGAUGAGCAUCACUCAUAGAAGAAGAACAUCCUUUAUAAGUAUUGAUAGAACUUGAAGACUCCUUAGUUGAUGCUUGACUACUUCUAUGAAUGCCUUCAUGACUCACAUACCACUUAUAAAUAUCCAUCAAAUUGGCUUUCAAAGACUUCAUAAUAUUACUAACAACUUUCCCAUCCAUAUAUAGAUCAUUCAAACAAUAUUCAACAUAAUCUAUUUUGUAUUUUGGAUCAAGAAUAGUAGCAAAAAGCAACAAUUGAUUCACACGUUCCAUUUUACUCCAAUACUUAUCAAACUUCUUCUUCAUAUUAGCCGCCAUUUUACCUAACAAAUAAUUUCCCCUUAGUUUCCAUUCAUCCAAUUCGAUUACAAUAUUACAAAUUUCAUGAAGAUAAGCACAAGCACUAAACUUCAAAGUCACAGUGAAGAAAUUUUCAAGAAAUUUAACAAAAACAUAUGCACUUUCCCAAUCUAAAUUUGACGGAGGUCGACCCUUCCUUCUUCCAUUAUCAUCAUCUCAAAGGUAAUGCAAAAUACUGAGCAUCCUCUUCUUCUAACCUAUCGAAAGCUUUUUCAAAUUUCAAUGCCGUUUCCAACAUCAAAUAGGUAGAAUUCCACCUAGUUGGGAUAUCCAAAAACACAAUAGACUUGCAAUCAAUCUUCUCUUUCCUUGCAUACUCGUUCAAUUUUUCAUACCUAGAGGGAGAAGAUUUCACAUAUUUGAUUGCAUUGCGAAUAUUCACAAUGGAGUUAUGUGCUUCCCUCAAGCCUUCAACAACAAUCAAAUUGAUGAUGUGCGCACAACAUCUCAAGUGCAAAUACCUUCCAUCUAGAACACAUCCAUCACUACCCCAAGAAACUACCUUUCCCCUAAGAUAAGAAAUGGCUGUGUCAUUGGAGCUUGCAUUAUCAAUAGUGAUUGCAAAAAUUUUCUCUAUACCUCAAUCAUGUAAACAAGACUCAAUAAUUUUUCCAAUUGUUUCUCCCUUAUGAUUUAGAACAACACAAAAACUCAAAAUGUGCUUAUUAAGCGUCCAAUCAAGAUCAAUGUAGUGUGCUGUAAGAGCCAUGUAAUUAAUAUUCUGAAUAGAAGUCCAAGUAUCAGUUGUAAGUGAAACCCUUGGACGGUGAAAAGAAAAGGCAUCUCUCAAUUUCAAUUUUUCAUCUAAAUACGACUGAUAAAUAUCUCUAACAAGAGUCCUACGAGAUGGAGCCUGAAAUUGUGGACAUGAUACACUACAAAAGAGCCUAAAACCAUGAGCUUCAACAAACUUAAAAGGUAAUUCAUCAAAAACUAUCUUUUUAGCACAUGUAACUCUAUACUCUUCCUUUCUUCAACCAAUAGCAAUAAGAUUGCUCCCUCCACCCUCUUUCAUGUUCUCAAAUGAUAAGGUUUUUUGCUUCUUAUCCACAAAUCUACAUGGAUACUUCUGACAAUUAUUUGUCAAAUGAUUACUCAAUGAACUAAUACUACACUUCUUAGUACCACAAGCAUAAUCUACUCCACAAUAAUUACACUUAUACCUAACAUCUGGAUCAUCCCUUAAACCCAAUAUAGUAAAGUGAUCCCAAACAUAAGAAGCUAAUCUAUUAGGUUUUCGUUUACCCAAUGUUCAUGGUGCACAUGGAGGAAGACCAUAUUGCAAAUCUCUAUCAUUUGAUUGAGCUUGUGUGCCUGAGUCCAUUUUCUAAAAGAUCCAUGACUAUAGAGACUAAAGAAUGCUGGAAGAAAGAGUAAAGCAAGCAAUUAUUUCUUAUCAUUAAAGAAUAAUUUGGUAAGGUCAAGCAAUUAAAGAAUAAUUAUUUCUCAUCAUUAAAGAAUCUUUCUUAUCAUUAAUUUGAGGAAAGCAAGCAAUUAUUUUACUCUUUGAAGGUAUAACUUGGUAAGGUCAACUUAUAAUAAUGAAUAAUCAGAGAAAUGGGAAAUUCUUAUCGACAUUCUAAACCAACGGCUACAAAAUUACGUGUCCCAUUGAACACUGCUUACUGCUUAGAGUAUUUUAGUGUCAUCCAGUGCGUGUCUCAGUCUUUCUUGAUACAAAUGUAGUAUUAAUCGUACAUUUUAAGAUUGUGUUUUUAAUAUAAAAUAAUUAUAGUAAACCGUAAAUACUCGAAAUUAACAUGCUCGACAUCUAAAUCAGCUUGAAUUUAUUUUUCUGUACUGAAUCGAGUUCAUUUUCUAAUAAGUGAAUUUUCCAUUUUCUAUUAAACAUAAUUAAUCACUCCAGUCCAUUUUUUUCCUCUCAAUAAUGUAGGGCACUUAAGGAUGAAUUUGUUUAUUUCUUAUCAAAUCGUUUUAUUAUCCCAGAUGAAUAACACAGUUAAAGCAACAUACAGAAAUAGGAAAACAAGAUCUGUGCAUCCAUUCUUGAAGCGAAUCGUGCAAACCAAUGUGUAAUAGUGUAUAGAUAGAUUUACCUUUUAGUUGAUCAAAACACACCCCACAAUUGAGAAUAGGCCAGCAUUUCUUGAUUUCAUCCUGAAGUUUUUGUAUUGCAGAGUGCAAUUCUGUAUUUAUAAAAAAUAGAAAAUAAGAAAAUAUGAAUAGAAAUUAGAAAAUAUGGAAAUAUCCAUACUCUACCAUUGGAGUGUGGAUGUCCGACAACCGGCGACUAAAAAAAGAAGUUCUCUAUUAGCGAUUUGAGAGAAAAUGACAUGAGAGAGAUUAGGGCUUCUUCUUGGCUCUUGGGUCUUGGAUGUAGCGGCUUGACUUGGGAAUUGGGAUGGGAGUGAAAAUUUUAGGGUUUCUUUUCCUUUUAUAUUAUGUCAUUUUUUUUUACUUAAUAUUGGCAGGUUGGGUUGGUGUGUGUUAGGUCGAUUUUUCUUGUUCAACCCACCACCUGACCUAACCCGUCCUAGUAAGCUAACCCAAUACCAAAACUUGCCUAAAAACACCAAAAAUUUGAAACAAAUCGAUCAGUUUAGGUCAGAUUGGGGGAUUUUCGUAGGUUGGCUUGGCUUUUGCCCACCCCUAAGUGUACUAGUGCCACCUUUAACUAUUUUUGUGAUAAAGACAAAUCACAAAUCUAAAUAGUGAAUCAGUCAAUAUUACAACCUUCCAGUACAAGGUGCCAACCCUUAUACAUUGGUUGUGAACAAAUUAAUUAUGAUCAAAAUAUAUGUUACGUCACAUUAUACUUCUCAACGUAAAUAUCCAACUUAUAUUAUCAAAAGUGAUCAUAGGCACCUUAAUUCACAUGCUCAAUAAUAAAUAAUUGCAACAAAUAAAUAAAACCACAAUUUAUUUAUUAUAAAUAAUUAUUUUAUCAUAACAAAAUACACCAUAUGGGCACGCAACCCAACACUAAGAUCAAUGAAGUUGAAGUGAUAAUUUCCAAUAUGAGCAUGUCUUAACCCGAGCCCAUGUCUAGAGGUGCUAGUACAACCAUAAUUGUUCUACAUUCUACACUAAUACUUGAAAUAUAAGUUAAGUUCAUCGAUUGUAGAUAUAUAGACUACAGUAAGGAACAAACAAAUAUGUGUGCCAUUUGAGUUUGCCAUCCUAUGAAGACCUUUCUUGAAUGCUGAGGAAGAUUACAACAGAUACAAAGAUAAAGCCAACUGAUUUUAACUGUUGGAAUAUCAAAGAUUCUCUUUUUAGCUGUUGAAAAUUCCAAUAGAGUACAAAUUUUGAUGGAAAUGAAAGAUCUUAGAUGGGCCGAAACAAUGUUGCUAGAUUAUUAUAAGAAUUUUAUGUUUUCCCUACAAAGUUUAUUUGUAGGAAAAUGUUUGUAUUUGUGGAAAAAAAUUUGUAGACGAAAAACAAUUAGUAGGUACAGUUGUGGGCAAACAUCGAGGAGACCGGUAAAAGACAAUAAUUUUUUCUUUUUUUUUUUUUUUAAAUUUGUGGACUUAAGUUUUCCCUAUGAAGCCUUUGAAGAUGAAUACAAUUCGUCGCUUAAGUAUUUUUUCCAACAAAAUCAUUUGUCUUCUAAAGUUACAUUUGCCCCACGAAAAAGUUUUAGUUUUCCCUACAAAUUAUGUUGUCGGCUAAAUCGUAUGUUUUCCUACAAAUAAAUUAUCAUGUCGAAAGAACAUUUGUGAGCUAAGAUAUAGACAUUUUUUUAAUUAAAAAUUUGCAGUAACAUGAUACAUAGCAUUUUGUGGGCUAAAUUCUAUUUUUCUCUACAAAAAUAUUUUCAUGGAGAAAGCAUACUUGUAGGCUAUCAUGAAAAAGCUCACAGGGAGAAAUUAAAUUAUUUUUAUAUUUUAUUUUCUAUUUAUAUUAUAGCAAUAUUUUUAAUCUAAUUCAAAAUAAUAUAAAAAUACAAAGAGGAAAUAAAUUAAUUAAGACAUAUAGUAUUGAAUCUAAAAUAUUUGAUCAAAACACAAAUAAAAAAUCAUUCACCAAAUAUUGUUACAUCUUAACUCAAAAAAGAUUAUAGCAAGCAUUCUCUGUACCUAUUAUUAUGUACCAAAAAAAUAAAACUCUUCUUACUCGUGAAUAUAAUAUGCUGUUGAUCAUCACUAAAUUUGUUCUCUUCAUCAUCAAUAGCAUCAUUGGGCAAUGAUCAAACAGUAACCCUUAUUCACUGAGUAAUGUGAUCGAAUGAUGGCUCCAAUAUCUUAACCUAACAAACCAUGUACUCCGAAAUUUGUUGCUCGUCUACUCACAACAGAAUCAUUGAUGUGCAUGAACCCCACAACAUUCAUGACAAUUAUGAAAUCUUGUAUUUCUACUUUUAUUUCAUGCCAUAAUUCUCAUGCAAAGUUUACUUGGGAGUUUCCAGAUAUUACAAAUAGGGGCACUUUGUAACAUGAAUUACAUUGGUUUCUCAACUUUAUCAAUUUAUUAUUGGUAAAACCAAAAAUGUAGAAAAGUACUCCUCUUAAGUACUGUGGAAUUAGUUAAUUGACAUCUGAAACCAACAACCAAAUUACAAUAUUUGAAGAUGAUAAAUGCAACCUUACCAAAACUUUGAAUUGAAAUGGUUAUCAGAAAAUCCAAAAUUCCCACCAAUAGAAUUCUGAAAAAAGAUAAACAAGAACAAUUGUCAGAGAUUCAUGAGAACUAACAUAAAAAAGAGUACAUAUCACCCACGUAAAAAGAAAAGUGACAUCCAUGACCCUUUUUCCCACAUUAGACAACUGAAGACAAUCAUAGUCAAUUCCUUCAUAUUAAUGUUAUACAAUGCCUUUCUCUAAGUGUAUGUGUGUUUUGAGAUGUUUUGUACCUUGUAAGUAAAUACUGCUCCAGGGAAGCUGCUUUCACUGCAAUUUGGGGAAUAACAAGAGAAAUUUGACGACAUACUAUUUUAAUUGCAGGAUGAGGUUCUUCUGCAUUAAAAAAAAUGCGAUGCUAGAAAUUUACGGCUUGGGACAUAAUGAAACAAAUAAAAUUCUUGAACAAUCACUUUAAUAUUUUUAAUGAAUAAAAUUCUUGAACAAUCGUUUUAUUAAAACAUAAAAGUUUUCAAAAGAAACAAAAAAUUACAAACAACAUAUUCAAACUUAAAAUCUUCGAAACCCAAAUAAUGUGGUCAUCAAAGCAUCAAUAAAUCAUAACAUAGCAUUAUUAAAAUAUUUUAUUAGCUAGCAUCGCGUGCUUGCCAAUUCGUCAUCCGUCUCAAAUCACUAAUUAAUUAUUACCUAAAAAAGUUCACGUUUGAUAUGAGAUGAUGAUCUCACUAAGUAAAAUAACAUAACAUGAAUAAUAAAAGUCCAUGAGAUUUGUGAAAAUACUUGAUAAGACACAAAUUUAUAAGAAUCGAACUUCAUAGUUCUAAGUUCAUGCGUAGUGCUACUAAACUCCAUGAUUUCAUAACAUAGUCACAACAUUAACUCCCGUGACUUUAAACAAUGAAAUACAUAUAUUUCACUUACCUUGAAUCUGAUGAUCGUAUUAGCAUGUAGGAGAAUUGCAUUUUUGAAAAAAAAUGUUUUUUGCAUAAAUUAUUCCUUACCAUAAUACAAACGUGCAAUAAUUAUUUCUUACCAUGUAUGUGAUGUCAUUUAGAGAGGUUUUAUUUUGGUCCAAUUUCUUAUAUUUGGCAAUUUAGAUAUUUUAGGACUCUAUUUUCCAGUUUUACUUGAUUUCUAGGUUUUCUAGAAUUUAUUUCCUCUUAAUAUAUUCUAGGUUAUUUAGUAUAAAUAUGUUAUUUUCUCUUUAUUGUAAACAAGACUUUUUAUGAUGAAUUAAUGGAGAAUUCUCUCCAGAAGCUUUUGCUUCAAAUUAUCUUCUUCUUCUUCUUCUUAAACAUUGAACUUAUCAAGAAUUGAUUGUUCUUGUGGCGUUCAAAAUAACUGGUGUGAUUUCAAUAAAUUAUUUGUAAUCAAAAGGUCGGCAUGUCCAUGUGACUGUGUUGGUUGUUUGGUUCAUGAUUAUUGAGUAAAAUCCACAAUUUUGGGUGAAAUUCUUCGUGUUGCAUAAUCAAGAGGUCCUUCACAGCACCAAUCUUAUUAGGUUGCUUGGUUUCAAUAUUGUGAGUUGAGUCAAAACUUUGUUCUUAGCUUUUUUGGGAUCCGGUGUCAAGAUCUUGUGGGUUCAAUAGCGACCGUGCUAACCGGAUUCAUAUCAUUUGGUAUUAGAGCACAGACUCCAAAAUCAAGGUUAUAUCCAUUUUCGUUGUUUUUGUUGAGUCUUGUUUUUGUUUUCGGCAUUAUUUUGGUGUUCUUCAUGUUUGUCAUUAGUUUUGAGUAUUAGAUCUAAAAUCUUUGGAAGUUUAAUUGUGUUUGUGUUUUGAUAAAUAAAAAAUAAAAAAUUUAUACGGGUCCCAAAAAAAAUUGUGUCAAAAAAUUUCCCAAAAUUUACUGACUAAUUAUUUGAAUCAAAAAAUCUUUUUCUGUCUAGUCAAAUUCCAAAUCAAGAAUCACUUUCUUGAAUUUAUAAACGUUCCGUUAAAAAUCAUCCAGUUCAAUACUUUUGAGUCUUUGAGUCACAAUUCCCAAUUGGGAACCAAACAAUAUGUCUAAAAGGAUGAUUUGGCGGUUUGAGAGGAUGUUGGUGAAAAUGGAAGAUAUGGGAAAUAGAAUUGAUAGGCUUGAAAGGCUAUGUAGAAAUCUUGGUGAUGGAUUUGUGUAUCCACUGGAGGGUUGAACAUCAAUUGGGAAGCAUGCUGGUGUUACAUUGGAUUAUAAGCAUGAAUUCUAAAAAAUUCGCGACUUAAUUAAUUCUCACAUUGAUCAUGAGAAGGAACGAAAGGGCAAGAAGAAAAAUUGUGAGGUGGUUAACAAGAGAGUGAAACGGUGGUUAAGGGUGAAAUUACGAAAUGGGAAGUGGAGCUGCAAAAAAAAAAUGGAAAAGGAGAAGAGGGAGUUGGAAGUGAGCUUAAAUGAAGAGGAACAUGAAGUUGAGAGGGUGUUGGAGAAAACUAACAUUUCCCUCCCCAGCUUUGCUGAUUUUGUUUUGCAGGUUACCGAAGAAUCAAUCCCAAAAAAUGAUCACACCGGAAUACCACCCAUCCCAGAAAUUGAACAUCAGUUGGUACUAUAUCGAUUGGAUUUCCUUAUCUACCAAAAAUUGACUUUGUGAUUCCCGAGAAGACGAUUGAGUUUCAAAGGCAUUGGAGGAACUACAUAUGUAGAGAGUUGAUUGAGAAGAUAAACUGAAGGACAAUAUGAAUACAUUGGAAGUGACAUUGCGUCAAGUGCUUGGGCCAAGUAAAGCGAGGAAGAUGCAUGAUUAUUCGUCAAGUAGAGUUUUCAUUGGAACAUUUCCAACUUGCAAAAUUAAGUAGUCAAGAUGAGCACAUUUUGAUCUAUGUGAUGAUGAUUGGGUCUACAAUCAAAAGAGGAGAGUUCGAGGUCAAAAUAGGUCCAAAGUUGCAUUCGAGAGGUGAUGGGCCAUUUCAUGUGCUCGAGUUGAUUGAAAGUAAAGGCUAUAACUUGGAUAAAGAUUCGAGGACGAAUCCUCUUGAAGAGGGAGGGUCUGAUGUGAUCUAGAGAAAUUUUAUUUUGAUCCAAUUUCUCAUUUUUGGUAAUUUAGAUAUUUUCUGGUUUUACUAGAUUUUAUGUUUUCUAGAAUUUAUUUCCUCUUAAUAUUAUUCUAGGUUAUUCAGUAUAAAUAGGUUAUUUUCUCUUUAUAGUAAACAAGACUUUUUAUGAUGAAUUAAUAGAGAAUUCUCUCAAGAAGCUUUUGCUUCAAAUUAUCUUCUUCUUCUUGAACAUUGAACUUAUCAAGAAUUAAUUGUUCUUGUGGCGUUCAAAACAACGGGUGUGAUUUCAAUAAAUUAUUUGUAAUCAAAAGGUAGGCAUGUCCAUGUGACUGUGUUGGUUGUUUGGUUCGUGAUUAUUGAAUUAGAUCCACAAUUUCGAGUGAAAUUUAUCGUGUUGCAUAAUCAAAAUGUCCUUCACAGCACCGUUCUUGUUAGGUUGCUUGGUUCUAAUAUUGUGAGUUGAUUCCAAAAUCUUGUUCUUGGCUUUCUUGGAAUCCGGUGUCAAUAUCUUAUAGGUUCGAUAGUGACCGUGCUGACUGGGUUUGCAUCAAUAUAUUGAAUGUAUUUAAUUAUAGAUAUACUCUUUAAAUUAAAAUGUUAAUUUAAAGAUUCUUUGAAACAUGAUUUUAAGGAUUGAUUCUUUAAAAAGAGAACAUCUCAUUUAAAGAGUCUCUCUAAUAUACUCUUAUGAUUCUCGAAGAGUUAUUAUAUAUAUAUAUAUAUAUAUAUAUAUAUAUAUAUAUGUAUACACACACACACACACACACACAUAUACAUACAUACUUUAAAUAUCACACACACAGAGACAUAUAUAUAGAUCUCUCUCUCUCUCUACACACACACAUAAAUAUGUACACACACUAUAAAUAUCGGGUUAUUCCGAAUUAGCAUGUAUAGUCCCUCAACUAUGGACGAGUAUGACUUGGCCCCUAAACUUUCACCAAAAUGUGAUAUGAUCCCUAAAUUAUAGUUGAUGUGUAAAUUUGUCCCUAAACCUUAAUUUCUAUAUAAAUUGGUCCUUAUAUUAUGGUUAUCGAGCAUUUUGGCCCCUAUACUUAGGUUAAUGACAUGUAGAGAAUUUUAGGUUAUUAUGGGGGUGUUUGAUAGCCAUUUUUAUGUAAAAAUGCAUUUUAGAAUAGUAACUUGAUGGGAAGUGUGUGGCUGAAAAAUAAGGAAAAGUUUUUUAUUUACGCGUAAUAUUAUUUUAAUAAAAAAUGUGUGGUUGAAAAGAAGAGAAAGAAAAAUACAUUUUGAAAAAAAGGGGUACCAAAUAGGGGCUAUAUAUAAAUUGUGAAUAUAUCAGCAAACCACAAGAUUAGCAUCAUAUACGGUCCAAGCCCUUGGGAAUAAUGCAUGUAUGUGGAAGUUUGUCCACCUAGAUUCCAGUCCCAAGAUCCUAUCACAGAAGAUGAACUAUAACUGUUUAUCCACAUUAUUUCAGAGAAAUUUACAUGUUGAUUCUUUCGCACAAUAUUAUCUUACAAAGAAAAAAGGAGAGGUGGGGGGCAUCACUUGAAAUCAUUACUAAUUUCACAUAUCAAGUUAUUCGAAAAAAUAAAUUAGAAGUACAUGCUUAGUUUAACACUUCAAGACUUUUAGGCAUACCACAGUAGAGUACUUAUCCCCAUUGGGAUGUGAAACAAAUAUGCAAGUACUGUGAAACAAUAUAUUGUAAUCAUUAGUAAAUAAAAGUUAGCAAUAGAAAUGAAACCCAAAAACUAUCUCUUGUCAA